AAAUAACACAUAAUUAGCAUGCCAAACUGUGUGUCGGCUCUGCAGCGCAGAGCAACACAGCGCUGGGAGCUGGCUGCUGUUGCCUGCAGCAGCUCGGCAGUUACUUAAUGUGACGCCCCCAAAAUAGGUAUACAUCACCCAUCUUGGGUCACCAAAUACAUGGUACUUAAUACAAAUACAAACUUAAUUAUACAACAUGAGCUGAGAGGUUUUACACGAAUAUUGUCAUCUAGACAAUAUCCAAACUCAAAUAGAGUUCUCAUUACAUUUAUCGGCAUACUAUUUUAUAGAAUAGUGAGGACUACUAUAACACCAUCUCGGGCAAUCACUCCGUUCCCCGACUAGUUCCGGCUACGUUCUCAUUUCCUGAAGAGAACAAUGGAAGUAAAAGGGUGAGUUCAACUAGCCCGGUAAGAAAUAUUAUGACUAAGAUAGUGCAGAAUAAGUUAUCAUUAGCCUUCAACAAUGUUAAACUGAUAGAAUAUAAUAGACAACAAGUUUAACUGCAGUGGAACAAGCAAUCCAUUAGAAGAGUCAAGUAGAGCAUGAUAUCUACUAUCUUCUAUGAUUUAAAAAGUUUAUCAAUAACUUUAUUGCUGGGACUCAACUUAAUAAAUAGAUCACAUCAUCGAAUCAUCCCUUCACUACGAGCCAAGGAUAUUCAUUAGUAUCACGUCCACAAAUUAUUCUUGCACUACGGGCCAAGAAUUAUUCGUGUAAUCAUCAAUGGUCAUGACUAUACCGAAUUAUCCCUGGUCAUAAUCAUACCAAUCUACAGUCCAUCUAUUCACGUAAGCCAAAGAUGACUUUCAUCACAAUAUAAUCAUGAGGAUGAUGACAAUGAUAUAAGAAUUCAAUUAAAAGAAAGCAAAGGAUAAUUUUUUAAAGAUUUAUAAUUUAAUUUAUCCAAAAUUCAAUAAUGUCCAACUUUUCAACAUGAUACUGCUUUGGACAUAAAAAAAAUAAAUUUUUUGGUGAAUAGUACCUCAUGAAUAGUACUUCAGGAAUAGUACCCCGUGAAUAGUAUCCCGAUAUGAAAAGUGGCCCAAAUACCCGAGUGAACAAUAUUUGAGUGUAGUAAUUAGGUGAAUAGUAACCCGUGAAUAGUAACUCGUGAAUAGUACCCCGAUAUGAAAAGUGCCACGAAUACCCGAGUGAAUAAUAUUAUAGUGAAUAGUAACCAGGUGAAUAGUAACCCAUGAAUAGUAACUCAUGAAUAGUACUUCGAGUAAAAAUAUUGAUAUUUAAUAAAAAAGUUCAUAUCAAUAUUCCAAUAAAAUAAUAUUGGAUAAUGCGCAAAACUCACGGAUGUUCCACUAAUUUCAAGGAUUAUAGAAGCAAUACUUACCAUAGUAAGUUUAGAUUUAAGAAUAUGAAAAGAAUUAACAUACGAAAACUGCAAAUGGAUUUUCACCUAUCAUACGGUACGUAAUCCGCGUAGACAGGUUAUUCCGACAUACUAAAGGAUGAAUACGAAAAAUAGUAUUCCUUAUGAAUACGAAAGAAAUAAUACCAUUUACCUUAGUAGAAAGCUGGAUACUGCAAAAGUGAAGUAGGAGAAUACUCUUCUUCUUGCUCUCUAUAGUUUCUCUCUCUAUAGUGUCUCUUGUGAAUCUCAGUGAAUUGGUGAGAAUGAAAGAAGAAUUAAGCUUCUAUUUAUAGGAGAAUGGACUAAAUAGUAACUAAUUCACGAACGGUCCAGAUUGAUUCACUAUUAAAACGGACGGUCCAUAUUGAUUACUAUUAAAACCACAACCGACGGUCCAGAUUGAUUUACUUUUAAAACCACCACUGACGGUCCAGAUUGAUUUACUUUUAAAACCACCAUCAAUGGUCCAGAUUGAUUUACUAUUAAAACCACCACCAAUUGUCCAGAUUGAUUUAACUUAUCACACUUUAGUACCCCUAAAGUUUUCCAAGUUUGCAUUAUUCCCCUCUAACUUUUAUAAUUCACUUAUCUUCAAUAAACGCAUUCUUAAUACUUCAACAAUUAUUUAUCAUUAAUAUUAUAACUCACAAUAUUUAACAACCAGAUCAUUCCCAGAAAAGAGGGGGCUUUCCAAUAAGGAUUUCUCUCUAUUGGCGCGCAAUUAGGUGACCAAACCUCUCCUCGACAGAACUUUCUAGACAUUGUCAAUAUUGCAAAUAAUAAUAUGAAUAACUUUGUUGUCUCAAUUAUUGAUUUAAUAAUAUAAAAUAUUAUGCAGAUGAUACUGUGACAAUAAUUGAAUCAAUAAUAUGAGAGAUAUGAUGCAGCAAUUACUGUAGCAAUAAUUGAGUAUAACUGAGUGACUUCUCACGUAAGCAUCAAUAAUCAAUACCGUGUGCUACUAUGCAACCACGCGUAUUACUGUACUUUUACCACCGGGUAGUUCAACAGUUUAACGGUAAAACUUCCGCUGUUAUUUUUAUAAAAAGAUAUUUAUGUCAUUUUCUAACUAAGAUAAUACUUCCGUUGUGGAGUCCACCAAUGAUUGUGCCGUCGUACGAAUAUUCCCUGCUAAAACGAAUAUUCCCCGACCAAUCGAAUAUUCACUGACACAACGAAUAUUUUAUAUCAACUUGCUUACUUUGCAAAAUUUUUCAAAUAUUACCCACAACUAUAACAUUAUAUCAUAUCCACACCAUAAUAUUCAAAAAUAUAUUUCGAGAAAAAUUAAUCUUUAUAAAAAAAAGUUGGGGUCUUACACUUAACAUAUACCAUUCUCCCUUUUUUGUUGUACUUUUAAGUUUAUGAUAUGCAAUCUGGUUUAGGCCUAAGUCCUGGUAUAGCGUAGUGACCAUGACUACUUACUAAGGUGAUGACUCGGACUACCAAAUAGAAUUCAUUUUGCUGCCAAAGUAAUGAUAACAAGAAUAGCUUGUCACAUUGAUUCUUUAGUUUAUGUUUUGGCUUAAACUAACUUUUCAUUACUCAAAACACUUUUAUUAACCAUACAUGUGUUAACUAAAUCAGGUUCAAUAGCUUUCCAACCUUGACAAAUAAUAUGAACAAUGUAUUUACAUAGUAUGUAUAAAAAUAACAACCCAAAUUGGGUUCUUAAAUACAUAAUUUCUCUGUUUCCACAUAUUCCUUUAGCAUUCAAGGUUCAUCCCUUGCUUUUAUAACCACUUGGAUUUAUUCACUCAUCUUAGCUAACCACAUAAAACACAUAUAAUUAUUGCACUUUUAUUAUCAAACAACUAAAAUAUUGAACAUACCAUUAAAGUUUAGUUUUACCGAAUUGCUAGCUUAUUUGAUAAGUUUAUAAGUUUCCUUUACUGCUGUAGAUUUUGAUUUCCAUCUCCUUUGUUUGGUUGAGUUGAAAUUUUAAAGCUACCAUAGAUGAGACAUUCACUUAAUAUUGAGGUAUAUUAGUUGGGCAAGUUUGGUUAGUUCAAAUGGACUGACCGAGAGCCAAGGAAGCCCCCAGUCAUUGACUGUCAUGGUGACUGCUGCUGCCGUGGGCAACAACCUUGCUCUAGACACUUAACAAUCUAACAACUUUUGAUUCAUUCGUCAUACAAUAGCAUAUUUUUAGAGUAUAUUAUACAUUGCAUACAAGGCUAUAUUUACUGAUUAUAAACUACCUACUUUGGAAUCUUCAAAUUACCCAAAAUAAUGCCCAAAAUUACUAGGCAUAGUGGAUUCCCAACUUUUCAUUUGGCUUAACAUCAUUUUCUUUUCAGUUUAACUUACUUAAAUCUCUUUAUUAACUGAAUAAAGUGAUCUACAUACAAACUUUGCUUUGGCUUCUACUUUUUUUUGAUUUUAAUCAAAACAGUCCAUUGAGGACUUUUAACAAACACCCUACGUGCACUAUUCUGUGGCACAGGUUUCAUAGCUAUUUACUUACUCUUUAACUCCAAUAAGUCACCUUAUAACACCUCAACCAACCUAUCUCCUUGUGCCUAAACCAAGCAAUAAAAAUAAAAUAACUUAAGAAGAGUCGGGCCUAAUAGUUAUCAUAGCAACAAUAUCCAUAUAGCAGUCAUUAAUUCUAUUGCAAGCCCUCCGACCAUUACAAUCCAUUAGUAGCCAGGAAAUGGAAUGGAAAGGAUUGGAGAGCUUACCUUAAUAGUUCAGAGGUUGUAAUAAGUUAUUGUUCGAUUUCUUCUCCUUCUCUCUAUGUGUGUUUUAGUUUUGAAGCUUAGUUGAUAGUAUAUCAGCUGAGUUUGAGGUUCUUUGUAUGUCUAUAUGUAGCUAAGAAGGAAAGGGGUAGCCAUCAUGGCUCUACAUAGCGGUUACUACAUUACUCUGACAGCCUAAGUCAGUUGCCCCUGCUCAUUUGAUGCACUCCCUCUUGGACCCUAUGCAGUCUCCUUAUCUGGCCCCUAACUUGCAACCUAUAUUGGCCUCUAUAAGUCUCAUGGUAGCCUACCUCUGUUAGCAACUACUUUGACCCCUAUUUUUACCUGACAUACUGGCUAAUACAGUGAUUUAGCCUCCCAACAGUUAGCUUAGGUAUUCUAGAGGUCAACCAACCUGCUAACUAACUGUCAAUUUGAGUUAGCUAUAAAUUGAAGCGAACUAACUGAUCUAUAAAACUCAACUACACAGCUCACAUUUCUUUAAUAAGGAUUGCCGGAUUGGGCUUGUGAAAAGGCUAGGUAUUGCUUUAAUUUGGGCCCAAAAUCUUAAAACCAAUGUAACACAUUUACAAGCAUACUUUGCAAAAUUUAGUAUGGUCCAAUUAUUUCAAUAUGGACUCAUAUUAAGUAUAAAACACAUGAAUUUUAUCUACCAUAUUUAUUUUAGGCUAUCAACAAUGGUUAGCACAUAUAUCAUUAAAAUGAUGGUUCCAUGUAGUUUUAAAUAAAUCAUGAUAGUACAUCAUCUCUUUAUUUGUUAUUAAAUAACACUUUUUUUAUCUUAAUAUAAUUAACUCUUUAAACACAUAGAUAGCUUCAUGUCAAGAAUCUUUCUCAAUUAAGCCAUCUUAGCUUUCCUUUUUAUUCUUGAUAUUUAUUUAACAUUAUAUUAAUGUAUACUAUUCAUCCUCUCCUUUACCAUACAAGGUCUUGAGAUAUAUAUAUAAGUUAAUAAAUAAUAAAUAAAUUAAUGCCACUUCAAUUAGGUAUAUAAUAAUAAUAAUAAAUUUAUACCCAAAAUUUGACGUUAUAAUAACUGAAUAUUACAUAUUAUUUUCUCAGUCAUUACAUUCUCCCCCCCUAUAAGGAUUCCGUCCUCGGAAUCACAAGUACAAGGUUACUCAAAAAGAUGGGGGUAACUUUUCUUCAUCUUUUCUUUGAGUUCCCACGUAGCUUCCUCAGCACCGUGGUUCAUCCGUAUCACCUUUAGAGAAGGUAUUAUUUUGUUUCUCAAAACUUGUUAUUUCCUAUCAAUUAUUUGAACAGGAACUUCUUCGUCGGUUAGAUCUUUUUCUACCUAAAUAGGUUCAUAUUGAAUUACAUGUUUGUGAUCUUAUUUAUAAGGUCGUAGCACUGAUACGUGAAAUAAAUUAUGAAUGUGCCCUAAUUCCGGAGGUAAAGCUACUUCAUAAGCCACCUCAUCUAUUCGCUUUAGCACUUCGAAAGGUCCUACGAAUCUUGGACUCAGUUUUCCCUUCUUUCUAAAUAAAAUUGUUCCUUUCCAAGGAGAUAAUUUUAAAAACACAAACGACCCUAUUUCAAAAUCUCUCUUUUGGCGGUGCAAAUAUGCAUACUUCUUUUGCCUGUCUUGAGUUGCUACCAAUCUUGUUCGUAUUACUCGGACUAUUUAUGCAAUUUGUUAAACCAUUUCUGGUCCCAAUAGUUUACGUUCUCCUUCCUCGUCCCAAUAGAGCGGGGUUCUAAAUUUUCUUCCGUAUAAUGCCUUGUAAGGCAACAUUCCUAUACUUGCGUGAUAACUAUUAUUAUAUGCAAACUCGACCAAAGGUAGGUGAUCAUCCCAUUUGCCCUUGAAAUCAAUGACGCAUGCUCUUAGCAUAUCUUCCAAUGUCUGAAUUGUUCUUUCACUUUGGCCGUCAGUUUGAGGGUGAUAUGCCGUACUCAACUUCAAUUGUGUCCCCAUACAUUCUUGUAGACUUCUCCAAAAAUUAGAUGUGAAUCUCAAAUCUCGAUCGGAUACAAUUGAUAAUGGAAAUCCAUGUCUUGAUACAAUCUCUUUAACGUAUAGUUUAGCCAAUUGAUCUAGAUUAAAUCUGAUCUUAAUUGGUAAGAAAUGCACUGACUUUGUCAACCGAUCCACGAUGACCCAUAUAACGUUGAAACCUUUAUGUGUAGUUGGAAGUCCCACAACGAAAUCCAUAGUUAUGUAUUCCCAUUUCCAUUUUGGAAUUUCUAGCGGUUGUAGAAAUUCACUUGGUCUCUGAUGCUCUUCUUUCACUCUUUGACAAGUUAGACACCUACUGACGUAUUCUUCCACCUCUCUUUUCAAAUUAGGCCACCAAAAGUGUUGUCGAAGGUCUUGAUACAUCUUUGUGCUGCCCGGAUGAAUUGAGAAAAUUGAACUAUGUGCUUCUUGUCGGAUUUCCUCUUUUAGGUUUGGUACUGCCGGUACCCACACUCUUUCUUCAAAUCUCAAUAAUCAUUCUUUAUCUAUUUUGAAUUUAGUGACCCCUUCUUCCUCUACUUGUUUCUUCACUUUAUUACAUUCUUCAUCUUGUUCCUGAGCUUCCUUUACUCUAUCCAACAACACUGGACAAGUCUCCAAGUUAAACAGUUUCUCUUCCGACUCUCUCAGAUAUUUUAUCUCAAUAUCCAUUUUCUCCAUUUCUUUGAUGAGCUCGUCCUUAUCUGUUAGCAUCUCUAAUCUUUCUCCUCCCUUCCGGCUUAAAGCGUCGGCGACUAUGUUAGCUUUUCUGGGAUGAUACAAAAUUUCGCAAUCAUAGUCUUUGAUCAGUUCUAACCAUCUUCUCUGCAUCAUGUUUAAUUCCUUUUAUGUGAAGAUAUACUUCAGACUUUUAUGGUCUGUGUAUAUCUCACAUUUCUCACCAUACAAAUAAUGUUUCCAAGAUUUUAAAGCAAAUACUACUGCUGCCAGCUCCAAGACGUGCGUAGAAUACCCUUUCUCGUAAUCCUUCAACUGGCGUGACGCAUAUGCUAUGAAAUUGUUGUGCUGCAUUAAAACGCAACCAAGCCCUUUGUGUAAUGCACAGCUGUAAACAAUGAAACCACCCGCAUCGUCUAACAAAGAUAGCAUUGGUGCUUCACUCAAUCUUUUCUUUAGUUCUUGGAAAAUCUUUUCACAUUUUUCUGACCAAAUGAACUUUACUGUUUUUCUGAUCAAAUUCAUCAAAGGUCUUGACAAUUUGGAAAAAUCAUUGAUGAAUCUAUGGUAAUAACCUGAUAGACCAAAGAAACUUCAUAUUUUAGUUGGUUUUUUCGGUAUUUCCUAGUUAAUUACCGCCUCUAUUUUUGUCGGAUCUACUGAUAUCCCUUCGUGGUCGAUCACAUGUCCCAAAAAUUGCACCCUUUCUAACUAAAACUCGCAUUUUGAAAACUUUGCAUACAACUUUUCUCUUCUUAAGAUCUCCAAUACCAUCCUCAGAUGUUCUGCGUAAUCCUCUCGAGUCUUCGAAUAAAUCAAGAUAUCGUCAAUGAAUACCACCACAAAUCUAUCUAAGUAAGGUUUUAAUAUAUGGUUCGUUAAAUCCAUGAAUUUUGCAGGUGCAUUAGUUAGUCCAAAUGACAUCACUAAGAACUCAUAGUGGCCGUAACGAGUCCUAAAUGCAGUCUUUGGCACGUCUUCAUUCCUCACUUUCAAUUGGUGAUAACCUGUUCGAAAAUCUAUCUUGGAAAAAUAGCGAGCUUCCUUCAGUUGAUCAAAAAGAUCAUCGAUUCUUGGUAAUGGAUACUUAUUUUUUAUUGUGAUUUUAUUCAAUUCUCUAUAAUGAUACACAGUCGUAACGAUCCAUCCUUAUUUUUGACAAAUAACAUAGGUGCUCUGCAGGGAGACACACUCGAUUGAAUGUGCUUUUUAUCUAAUAAUUCCUGUAAUUGAAUCAUUAGUUCUUUCAUCUCUACCGAAUCCAUUCGGUACGGAGCUUUGGAAAUCGGGUUUGUACCAGGCACUAAGUUUAUCAUGAAUUUGAUCUCCCGAUCCGGUGGUAACCCUGGCAACUCAUUUGGAAAUAUAUCCGUGAAUUCCCUUACUAUUGGUAUUUGUUCUAUUUUCAUUACCAUUCUUUGGGUGUCAACUACACGGGCUAAAUAACCAACACACACUUUUCUUAACAGCUUCUUGGCCUGCAUCAUCGUCAGACAACAUGACUGUCUCGGUGAUUUGCUAUCAUAAAACAUGACUUUUGACUUACUAGGAGUCUGAAGGUUUAUGCAUUUCUUUUGGCAAUCAAUUCUCGCCCCAUGGUUAUACAACCAAUCCAUUCCUAGUAUCACAUCAAAUUCACCUAAUCGGAUAGGAAUUAAAUUCACUAUAAACUUAUGACCCCGUAUAUCUAUACUAUAAUUUUUAUGAACAUGAGUUACGGGAAUGACUUUUUUAUUUGCGACCUCUAUGUUCAAAGGACGAUCCAAUCUUUCGGGAGUUAAUUCUAACCUUUGAGCAAAUUUCUCAGAUAUAAAAGAAUAGGUAGCCCCCAAAUCAAAUAGUAUAAAGGCAUUAAUGUUAUUGACUGGAAUGAUACUUGACACUACCUCCUUUGAUGCCACUUCACCCUGCACAAUCAUGUUGAACGUCCUGGCAGUUGGUCGAUUGGAUGGGGUUGGUACCCCGAUUAUCAGUUUCCCACCGUUGUUUCCUUUCUUUGGAUAAUUCUUAAUUUGAUGAUCCGCAGCUCCACAUGCAAAACAUCCCUGAACUUUCUUUGGGUUGGUGCAAUUAGGAGAGAUGUGUCUCUCCUGCCCACAUUUAGAACAAACCGUUUUCCCCUUCAUGCAGAGUCCCAAAUAAUUUUUCCCACACUUCUUACAUGCUUUUAUCUUUCUUCUCUGUUCUCCCUGCUUAAUGCUAAAUUUAUUGCUCUUAUUGUUCCACUUUCUUUUGUUAAAAUUAUUUCCUUUGCUACUUCCCUCUCGAGGUCUUAUUUCUACCUUUUUAUCUUUUUCUGUUGAUGAAAUUUGGCUAGUGUGUCAGUUCCUCCUUCCGCGAUUAUGGCUUUUUCCAGCAUGUUAGAAAACGUGUUUAUUUGAAAUAUUGAAACCUUAUUAAAAAGUACAGGCUUUAGUCCUUGUUCAAAUCUCCGAGCCUUCCGUUCUUCAGUGUCAACCUGAUGCGACACAAACUUCGAUAGUUCAUUUAAUUUCGCAGCAUAUUCAGGUACAUUCAUACUUCCUUGUUUUAGUUCGAAAAAUUCAGCCUCCAUCUUAUUUUUCAUGAUACGGGGAAAAUAGGCUUCGAAGAACAGUUCUUUAAACCUAUCACAUGUCACUACUCCUACUUCAGCUCUAUUUUUGUUGGCUCCCCACCAGUAGCUUGCUUCCCUUUUCAACAUGAAAGUGGCAAAAGCUGUCUUUUGAUCCUCAGUAACUCUGACAACUUCGAAUACAUUUUCCAUUUCAUUUACCCGUAUUUGGGCUUCUAUCGGGUUAUUAGUUCCUUUAAAUUCUGGGGGUCCUACUGCUUUAAAAUCCUUAAAGGUGGUCAAAUGACCUUCAGGAGGGUUUGGGUUUACUGGCGGUACGACAUUCCUACCUUGAAGUGCUUGGGUUAACAAAUCAACAAACUGUUUCAUAAAGUUUUCUAGACCCGCCGAGUUAUUUACAGACUCCUCUUGAGUUGAUGGGGUUUGUGCCCUAAGUCUUUUUCUUCCCUUCCCUCUCCAUCUCGGUGGCAUUUUCUGUUUAAUAUACGUUUUAUCAUCAUUUUAAUAUUUAUAAUAAUGCACAUUGUAUCAAGUAUACACAUCCUUCUAUAACAGAAAAACAUACAUAUUUAUAUUUAUAUGCUUUUUCAAGUUGCGCUAAGCACGAUAAAUCACGUUGCAUACUGCUAUAAACGUUCUAAUCCCUACUUACUACAUAUAGUCGGGAUUUACAUUUAAACUGCCCUUAACUACAAAAUUUGGGCUCCCAAAAGUAUUAUCCCCUUAAUAUACAAAAGAGGGGUACAUCCAUCUGAUUCAUAUUAAUAAACUACUAAAAACAUACUACAUAGAUACCUACACCAAACAGACACAUUAUCAAAGCCCAGACAGACUACUGAAGAAGCAUGCCUUCCCUUUUGGCGCUGCGGAGUUCCUCGUCUCCAAUGUCCAUUACCCUUUUGCGAGUCAGGACCAGUUCACUUCCACCCCCAUCUAUAGGGUGAAGCUGCAGCCUAUGUUCUAGCGUAAGAAUGCAGUCUUAAAUGCAUAAUCCAUCUUGUCUAUUUUGGCAUCUUUGCCCCUAACCUCAUCCUUCAGUUCAUGGGCUCUGCCUAAUGCCUUGUCUCUUUGUUGUUCAACCCUUCUCCUGUCAGCUUUCAACACUUCUGUCUCAUGCCUAAGAAUUAUGUUUUUUAUGCUUGAUGGUCUUUUUUUGAUGCAUGUUUUGUUGAGCCUCCUUCUCCCAAUUCUUAUAGGUUAGCUCCAUCAGGGCAUCAUCCUCCUCUAUGAAGGGUUCUUCAGAAAAACCCCCAAACUGGUCCUCUAGAUCCUCUUGUUUUAACUAUUUCUUUACUCUACUGGACUUUCCCAUCUCAGGCAUCUACAAAACACAUUAACAAACUUAAUAAGUUUCUAUACAACAUUACCAAGUAAUCACAUUUAGACUUUUUAUUUUCUUUAACAAUGAAUUCCCAGAAUUCAUCUCUUAUACUCGAAAUGAGUUUAACUAUUUCUCUUAAGGUCAUAAUCCUAAGGUGUUUCCCCAUUCCAAAGGUUUAUAACCUAUCAGCUUUGAUACCAACCUGUGACGCCCCCAAAUUUGGAUUACUUUUACCUCGAGUUUGGUGCUCACGAUACUAACAUACCCAUUCACUUCAUCAAAGUACAAAUUAAACCUGUCUUAGAUUACAUAUUUAUCUUACUUAACUCCCAGGUUCUAUAGACCUUUACAUUACUUAAAUACCAAAUAACAUUAAAAAACAUAGUAUUAAAAGUAUUUAUUACAUUCACUACUUAAGUUCAUAUAAGCACAGACGCUUAAUAAAUGAUUAUUCAGCAACUUUGCAUUUUCCUUUAUCUUUCUCAGAUGUACCAGCGCCCUCGGUUUUAACUGAAAACAUUAUAUUUAACGCAAGGGUGAGCAAAAGCUUGCUCAGCAAGGAAAUAAGCAGUUGAAUAUAAUGGAACAUGAAUAUUUAUAGCAAUGAGGAUACAAUUCAAUAGAUACCGAACAAGACAGUUUCUUUAACAGUUUCGAUUCUAAAAAUCAGGCUUUAACACGUUGUAAGGUCAAAUGAUCAGUGAACUCUGUAAUAGAAUUGAUAUCACUAACACUGCAAUCCAUGGAUACAAACAAUUAUUGAAGUUGUUCUAUAUCCUAGACUUGUACUUUAGGAGAUCAACCAAGUACCUUACAUUGUGCACAACAUAACAGUCUAAUGACACUUUACAUGUCCUUCGUAAUCAUAUGUCCGAUACAAUAUGCCCCUAUAAAAGGGUUGUUCGUUCACAGUAUUAUAUAAGAAUCCGCACCACAACAAAAUGGUUUGGAAAACAUUAAAUGAGAUUUUCAUGAAUAAUAUCAAUGUAUCUCAAUAGUUGUCUAACCGAAAUAAUGGCAUUAACAUUCUUUCAAUAUAAACUUAUUUAAGAGAGAAAGGUUCGAUAUACUUGAUAACAUUCUAACUAUUCUCUUGAAGCUGAUGGAAUAAAAAGGUUAUUUAACCUUGUAUUAUUCAUAAAUAAUGAGCGAGAGUUCAGAAUUUAGAGAACCUGUCCAUAUAUGAAUAAUUCUAGAAUACUUGCUCAAUAAAGAGUAAGAGUAGAAACUUCUCUGGUUUGUGGAUUACUGAUACAGACUCAAUUUAAUUUGUGUGUUCUCUCAGGUCCUACACAAGUAUUUGUAUUUACAAGCAUAUUAGCCACAUAGCCAAGUCAUAUAGUUUGUAAGUUCACAUAUCACAUAGUUUUAGCGAUCAUGAUUGUAGUUUAGAUUCCUAUAUCUGAGAUAUUUUAUACAUUUUUCAAAUACUCCAUCCAUGUUUUCACAUAGUCAUUUUUAUCUUUAAUAGGGUUCUGUAUGCCUUGUAAUAAGCAACCACCUUAUAAUUAUCAUUUACAUCCUAUUCAAGACUUAGAAUAUAGGUAUAUCAUAUUUCCUUAUUCAACUUCUAACCCACACGAAAAUUUUAUAGUGUAUCUUAUAUUUCGAAGGUAAUUUCAACCUGUAUGGUUAUCCCUUGUUGUUCUCAUGAUUUAAAGCUCCCUUUUUUGAUACACUAGUACAUCAAUUAUUCUUGUUUCUUCCUAUGUUGUUCAAACAGCCUUUUGAGAUUUAAAUACUUCGAACUUGACUUAACACCUGUUAUUUUUUGUUCUUUAUACAUAGCUCAAGUGCACAAGAGAAUUUACAAGUGCCUUUCAUGUUUCGGGGUAAUCACAAUUUUAUUGGGUAACUUAUAGAUCUUAUAACCUUUUGUAGCUUUAUAUUUUUUGUAUACAAAAGAGUAACAUUCUUGUCUUUCUUCUCUAUGUCAAAACAGCUUCCUUUUUGCUUAGGUACAUCAAACAGCCCUCUUUAUUGCAUAACAGUGCUCACUUGACCAGCCAUGUGGGCAGCCAAGCUUUGCUUGGCCCUGUGGGGCUUUAAUAAGCUUGGUGUGGCCUAGGCUGGCCUCGCUACCCCAAGCACAUGAGUCUAAGAGUCCCCAAACUCACCAUGUUCCUCCUUUACUAACUUUUGUCUAGAAAAUUUCUAAUGUACUAUGUGACACUUUUAAAUACUUGCUUACUUAAACAAGUAAAAAUUAAACUCUAUUUAAUUCUUCAAUUUGCAUUUCUAAUCCAAACUGUGUUGCCUAUAUCUGUUAUAGUAGCUCAUUGUGGCUGCUUAUUAUUGCCUUAUAGCAACAACCCCUAGUUUGUAAAAAAUUCCAAUUUCCAGGGUACUAAUUUAGUUGUAAAAGACUUUAGAUAAUUGUAAAUGAUAUCAUUACAUAGUAUGUUUAACCCAUGAACUGCAACAAUUUAUAAUAUAUAGCAGUCAAGAUAACUAUCAAAACAGCCCUUUAAGGCUUUAACAAUCCCUUUCUACAUUCUUUUAUGUUUUGGAAUAUUCACAACUUGAUUGAGCAGUUUAUAACCUCUAUCAAUACUUGUAGAAUUAUUAUAGAAUGCUAAAUAUCAACCAUUCCUUUGGUUUCUUUUUAAUGCCAAAACAGUCACAAUUUAAUUCAUUGGGUGGCACUUAAGCUUUGUGUGGCCACACUUGGCCUCAUGGCCCUAUUCGAACCUAGUAGUCAUAUCAUUGGCUCAAUAGCCCCAAGUACAAUAUAACUACUAAGUUAUUUAUAUAGGAUUGUAACUAUAUCAUUACUUCCCUAUGCAUACUUUUUUUUUGGCAAUUAGUUAAUUUCUCAAAUUACAUUUUUAGUUUAAGCUAGACUGCCCAAAACCACUUUAACAACAGCUCAAAGCUGCAGCUUUCAUGCCAACUGUUGCUGUCUAAAGGCAGCAGCUGCACUUGUUUUUAUUUCUCGCUUGAUCUCCCCAUAAUCUUGGUUCACUUGCACUUCACUUGAAUAUUACACAACUAAUAUAUUCAAUUAUUAGGGUAACUUAAAUUUAUAGCGAAACUAUAUCCUAACCCUUAUCUUCCAAACCCUUAUCUUCCAUUUCUCUAGCUUUUAAUUUGCAAUUUAAUCAUUUUAGUGUUAAAAGGCCUUGGAGUUUUAUAUAGGUAAUAUAUUCACCUAUUUAGAAAUAUACAUACUAAUUGGUCUAGUUCCUUUAAUGCAUUGUCUGAGAACUCAAGAGAUUCCCCAGCCCAUGCCAACUGCAACUGCCUAAAGGUAGUAGUCCACUUCUCUUUCCCCCUUGUCUUUAAAAUUUUACUAUCUUAUAAUAGUACCACCACCUUUGACCUGCUAUACUUGGUACACUCACCUUAGGAAAUAACACAUAAUUAGCAUGCCAAACUGUGUGUCGGCUCUGCAGCGCAGCGCAGCACAGCGCUGGGAGCUGGCUGUUGUUGCCAGCAGUAGCUCGGCAGUUACUUAACAUAUACCAUUCUCCCUUUUUUGCUGUACUUUUAAGUUUAUGAUAUGCAAUCUGGUUUAGGCCCAAGUCCUGGAAUAGUGUAGUGACCAUGACUACUUACUAAGGUGAUGACUUGGACUACCAAAUAGAAUUCAUUUUGCUACCAAAUUAAUGAUAACAAGAAUAGCUUGUCACAUUGAUUCUUUAGUUUAUGUUUUGGAUUAAACUAACUUUUCAUUACUCAAACACUUUGAUUAACCAUACAUGUGUUAACUAAAUCAGGUUCAAUAGCUUUCCAACCUUGACAAAUAAUAGGAACAAUGUAUUUACAUAGUAUGUGUAAAAAUACCAACCCAAAUUGGGUUCUUAAAUACAUAAUUUCUCUGUUUCCACAGAUUCCUUUAGCAUUCAAGGUUCAUCCCUUGCUUUUAUAACCACUUGGAUUUAUUCACUCAUCUUAGCUAACCACAUAAAACACAUAUAAUUAUUGCACUUUUAUUAUCAAACAACUAAAAUAUUGAACAUACCAUUAAAGUUUAGUUUUACCGAACAUACCAUUAAAGCUACCAUAGAAGAGACAUUCACUUAAUAUUGAGGUAUAUUAGUUGGGCAAGUUUGGUUAGUUCAAAUGGGCUGACCGAGAGCCAAGGAAGCCCCCAGUCAUUGAUUGUCAUGGUGACUGCUGUUGUCGUGGGCAAUAGCCUUGCUCUAGACACUUUACAAUCUAACAACUUUUGAUUCAUUCGUCAUACAAUAUCAUAUUUUUAGAGUAUAUUUUACAUUGCAUACAAGACUACAUUUAUAGAUUAUAAACUACCUACUUUGGAAUCUUCAAGUUACCCAAAACAGUGCCCAAAAUUACUUGGCAAAUUGGAUUCCCAACUUUUCAUUUGGCUUAACAUCAUUUUCUUUUCAGUUUAACUUACUUAAAUCUCUUUAUUAACUGAAUAAAGUGUUCCACAUACAACCUUUGCUUUGGCUUCUACUCUUUCUUCGAUUUUAAUCACAACAGUCCAUUGAGGACUUUUGACAAACACCCUACGUGCACUGUUGUAAGACCCCAAAUUUUAUGAAUAAAGAUUUAAUUUCUCAAAAUAUUUUCUUUAAUAUAAGGUGUGAAUUUGAUAUAAUGUUAUAGUUGUGAGUUAUAUUUACAAAAUUUGCAAAGUAAGCAAGUUGACAUAAAAUAUUCGAUUGGUCGGGGAAUAUUCGUUUUAACAAGGAAUAUUCGUACGACGUCACAAUACAACCGCACAAUCAUUGGUGGACCCCACAACAAAAUUACUGUCGGAGUUAAAAAACGACAGAAAUAUCUUUUUAUAAAAAUAAAGGCGAAAGUUUUACCGUUGACUGUUGAAAUACCCGGUAAUAAAAGUAUAGUAAUACGCGUGGUUGCAUAGUAGCACACGGUAUUGAUUAUUGAUGCUUACGUGAGAAGUCACUCAGUUAUACUCAAUUAUUGCUACAGUAAUUGCUGCAUAAUAUCUCACAUUAUUGAUUAUAUUAUUGUCACAGUAUCAUCUGCACAAUAUUUUAUAUUAUUAAAUUAAUAAUUAAGAUGACAAGUUAUUUAUAUUAUUAUUUGCAUUAUUGACAAUGUCUAGAAAGUUCUGUCGACCACCUAAUUGUGCACCAAUAGGGAGAAAUCCUUAUCAGAAAAUCCCCUCUUUCUUGGAAAUGAUCUGGUUAUUAAUAUUGCAAGUUAUACUAUUGAUGAAUAAAUGUUGUUAAAAAUAUUGAGGGGAUUUUUAUGAAGUAUUUGUUGUAAGUUUGGUGUAUUAUAUGGAUUCCCACUUACCCAUUUUUCAAAAUUAUCGAAGAAAGUUAUCUCAUUUUUGUUUUAUAUAUAUAUAUAUAUAUAUAUAUAUAUAUAUAUAUAUUAAUAAGUUUUGUUUUUUUUAUGAAAAAUAGAAUAUAUUAUAUUUUAUUAUGCAUAGUAUCUGCAUAGUGUUUGCAUAGUAAAUCAGAAAAAAAUUUCAGCCGAUUGAAUUCGCCUGUGAACUUCCCCACUUUGCAGUCCGUGAAUUUUUCUAAAUAGUAUCCUUCCAUUCUCCUAUAAAUAGGAUGCUCAGUUUAGAAAUAAAAAUCACACCAAAAUCGGAGAAUUCUUCUUCUAAAAUAUUGAGCGUAUUUCUUUUGAGUUUAAGGAAGUUUUGAGUGUAGAAACUAGUGGAAGUUUUCUUCAAGAAUAUAUCCGUUAUACCAGUCGAAAUUGCUCUCUUUUUGUUGUAUGUGGUAUUAUUUAUUUCAUAUUCGCUUAUGAUAUUAUUUUUAGUAUUCGUAAGAAAUUUUAUUUCGUUCAAUAUUCGCAAGAAAUAUUAUCUUCGUUUAAUAUUCGUAAGGAAUAUUAUAUUCACUUAAUAUUCUUAAAGAAUAUUAUUUUCGUUCAACAGUUGUAAGAGAUAUUAUUUUUGUUCAAUAUUAGUAAGAAAUAAUAUUUUCUUCUAUACUAUGUAGUACGUAAGUAAUAUUAUUUCGUUUCAGAUUCUGAAUUUUACACUUAUUUUGUUAAGUAUUGCUUCUAUACUCCUUGAAAUUAGUAGAAUAUCCUUGAAAUUUGCGCUUCAUCUAGUAUCGUUUCAUAAGGAUAUUUUUCUGAACAUUCUUGUUCAUUUUUAAGCUUUUCAUGCCAGAGUACUAUUCAUGGGUACUAUUCAUGUAUACGACACUAUUCAUACGUACGGGUACUAUUCACGGGGUACUAUUCAUGGAGUACUAUUCACUCCGGUACUAUUCACCCGGGGUACUAUUCAUGACAGAAGUUGAUUUCUUUUUUGUCCAAAUUAUUUUUGAUACAAUAUUAUUCUUGAAUUUUACUCCACAAAUGAGUAUCAUGUUGACAAUUUAGAUAUUUUUAAACUCUGGAUAAAUUUAAAGUCUUUAAUAUUUGUCUUUAAUUUCGUUUGAUUAAUGCUUAUAUCAUUGUCAUCAUCCUCAUGCUUAUAUAGUGAUAAAAGUCAUCUUUGGCCCGUUGUGCAUAGAUGGAUUGUUGAUUGGUAUGAUUAUGACCAGGGAUUAUUCAGUAUAAUCAUGACCUGUAAUGUUACAAGUGAUGUGGAUUAUUUAUUGAGCUGAGUCUCAACGACAGUUGUUGGUAUGAUCAUGACCAUGGGUUUUCUUCGGCCAAGGGUGUAAAGAUGAAUUGUUGUUUGGCAUGAUCAUUACCAUUGGUGAAAACACGAAUAUCCUUGACCUGUAGUGCAUGGAUAAUUUAUGAUUGUGAUAUUAAUGAAUAUCCUUAGCCCAUAGUGCAUGGAUAAUUCAGUGAUGUGGAUUAUUUAUUAAGCUGAGUCUCAGCGAUAAAAUUGAUGAUAAACUUUUAAAUCAUAAAAGAUAGUAUAUAUCAUGCUCUACUUGACUCUUCUAAUGGAUUUUUAUUUUCGCUGCUUGAUCAAAAACUUAUUGUCUAUUGUAUUCUAUCAGUUGUUACACUGUUGAAGGCUAACGAUAAUUUAUUCUGCAUUAUCUUAGUCCUAAUAUUUCUUAAUGGGCUAGUUGAGUUCACCCUUUUCUUUCACUAUUCUCUUCAGGAAAUGAGAAUAUAGCUGGGACUAGUUGGGGAAUGGAUUGACGGUCCAGAUGGUUGCUUUAGUAGUCCUCACUAUUCUGUGAAAUAAUAUGAUAAUAAUUGUAAUGAGGACUCCGUUUGAGUUUGGAUACUGUCUGGAAGAUAAUAUUCGUGUUAAAACUCUCAGCUUAUGUUAAACGACAGUUGUAUAAUUAAGUUUGUAUAUAUAUUUUGUACCAUGUAUUUGGCGACUCAAAAUGGGUGAUGUAUAUCUAUUUUCGGGGCGUCACAACUGUUCUGUUUCACAGGUUUCAUAGCUAUUUACUUACUCUUCAAAUCCAUUAAGUCACCUUAUAACACCACAACCAACCUAUCUCCUUGUGCCUAAACCAAGCAAUAACAGUAAAUUAACUUAAUAAGAGUCAAGCCUAACAGUUAUCAUAGCAACAAUAUCCAUAUGGCAGUCAUUAAUUCUAUUUCAAUCCCUCGGACCAUUACAGUCCAUUAGUAGCUCGGAAAUGGAAUGGAAAGGAUUGGAGAGCUUACCUUAAUAGUUCAGAGGUUGUAAUAAGUUGCUGUUCGAUUUCUUCUCCUUCUCUCUAUGCGUGUUUCAGUUUUGAAGCUCAUUUGAUAGUAUAUCAACUGAGUUUGAGGUUCUUUGUAUGGCUAUAUGUAGCUAAGAAAGAAAGGGGUAGCCAUUAUGGCAAUACUUAGCUGUUAUUACAUUACUCUGACAGCCUAAGUCAGUUGUCCCUGCUCAGUUCAUGCACUCCCUCUUGGCUCCUAUGCAGUCUCUUUAUCUGGCCCCUAACUUGCAACCUAUAUUUGCCUCUAUAAGGCUCAUGGUAGCCUACCUUUGUUAGCAGCUACUUUGACCCCUAUUUUUACCUGACAUACUGGCUUAUACAAUGAUUUUGUGACAAAUGAGAUUUUGUAAUUUUAUUUGAAUAGUUAUUGAAAUAAAUAAAUAUUUUUUGAUGAUUUAUUUAUUAGAUUAAAUAAUUAAUUGAUGAAAUUUUGGUAGAUUAAUUUAAUUAUGUGUUAUAUUUAUUAAAUUCAUGUGGAGAAUUUUUAUUAUUCAAAGUAUGUAUUUAUGUGAGCGUAUUGAAUUAAAUGAAAUAUUUAAUAAGCAUAAUGCUAUUUUAAUUAAUGUAAUAAUUAAUUAGAGAAUUAAUAAUUUGACAUAAUUAAUAAAUGACAAAAUUAAUUAUGUAACUAUGUGAGUUAAUGAGAAAUUAUUAUAUUUUAUUUAAAUUAAAUUAAAUAAGAUAUUUGAUUUAUUGUGUAAUUGGGUGUGACAUUAGUAAACUAUACUAUAAAGGAUUAAUUAAAUUAAAUGGGAAAAUCUUCUAAUAAGUUAGCCAAACAAGGCCUUAGUGGAGGUUGAGAGCAGUUAACCCAUGAUUGAGUAACUGAUCACCACCAUGCUAGUUCCUAUAUGCACCAGGCUUAUUAAUCUUUCACGUAUGUUAAUUUUUAAAUAAAACUUGAGAGCUCAGAGAGAAUUCAGAGGAAUUUUGUGAGAAACUUUGUGAUUGAAGAAGUAUCUGAGAAAGAUUUCAUCUCCUAUUAAUCUACCCUGGGUAAUCUCUUCAACCCAACUUUAAAUUCACGUUGUUUAUACCUUCUAUGAAAAUUUCUAUAAGUCUCUGUAAUUGAAAAAGUAAUGACUUAUGUGUUUAUAUAUGAUAUAUAUAUAUAAUCAUAAUAUGUUUUAUUACCAUAUAUGUAUGUUCUCAUAACAUCAAUUGCAUACAAAUAUGUUGUAAAUAGAUUUGUGAAGUUACUGAGUAUAAGUUUCAUAUGUAUGGCCCUUAUGGGAAUUGGUAUGCUACGAAUUGUUGUUUAACUUGAAAUUUAACGGUAGAUUAUGUUAUCACAUGUCAAAAUGAAGAAAAUAAACUUUGAAUGAACUGAUUUAGUGUUAUAACGAACCCGUAGUGCCAAUCUUCAAGCUUUGUUUUCAAAACUUUCAAGAACAUCAAGAACAGUGAUAUUAUAUAAUUUGAUUCAAGUAAUUUAUGUGUUUAAACUUGUUAAAAUCACUCUGUAAAGUUGGGUAAUGAUUAUGUACGAAUUCUAGUAUAUGGGUAUGUUUAAUUUAAUGUAUUUAAUGAUCAUGUAAUGAUAAUUUUGCCUUACUCUGUGUUCUUCGCGAACUGGAAAUUCAAAAACUGGAGUUUCGCUCCGCGACGCCAACUCUAUGCCUUAAGUCCCGCGCUGCAGCGCCACUGUGCCGCAGCGCUAAGAACAAACUUGCUAGUGGCGCCACAACGCCACUUUGCAGAUUGCUCAGAAAUGAAAUUUUUUUGAUUAUUCAUGUCCAGGAAUGUAAUAAUAACCUAAUCUAAUGAACAUAAAAUGUGGUAAACAUAUAAUGAGAUGUUAACAUAGGUUCUUAACAUGUCGAUAAGGCAUUUACAUGUUGAUUGAAUUUUUGAACGUAUAGUUAGCCUAUUAUUAGUGUAGUGUGAUAUUACGUGAAAAUAAGCGUGGUAAUUGACUAAGUAUAGUCAUAACCAGAAUUUAGACAAAAAGAAUGAACGUGUGAUAACUAGUUAUGUUAUAAUUGACUGGUAUUGUGAAUGUAAAUGGUAUGUAGGAUUAAAUCAAGGAGUGUGUAUAAUUAAUGUGUAAUCUACGCACAAGGCAAGUUUCCUAACCCUAUUUGUUAUGGUUAUUCAAGUUUAUGAACUUACAUCGAACAAAUCCUCGUUAUUAUUAAUCAAGUUCGAAUUGUUAUAUUAAAGGUUAUUAAUCUUUCAAAGUAUGAUUCUGUUAUACAAUACUUAUUCUGUUGUAUACCUCUUGAGUUUGUUAUUCAAUUUAAAUAUCAGUUAUUGUUGAACAUUGUAAGAGUAGUGAACUUUUAUUGAUUCGACUAGUCCAUAGUUGAUGAACGUUUUAAAUUUUAGAACCCUUGUUGAAUUAUCUAAACCAAACUUCCUUUGGUGCAGACUCUAAUGUUAAACUGAGAUGAACAACCCUGUAUAGGGGAUUAUUUACGCUUUAACGUUAAGAUAUUAUGCACAGUAUGGUACUAAGGGCUGACCCCCCUAAGUACGAGAAGAAGAGUCCAUAGUCUUAUGACUGUUAAAGGUUUCAAGUAUAAACACUUGACAACCUAGGACAUAGUUCAAGGUCUUAUGACCCUCAGAAGUUCUUUUGAUUCUUGUUAUUCAUUCUUGAUUUAAAAGCCGAGUUUUCUUAUUUCAAAAAUCUUUGAUUCAUUCGCAUGUUAUUAUUUUAUUAUUAUAUUGUUAUACUUGUGGGCAAUCGUGCUCACUCUUGCAUAAUAAUAACAUUACAAUUAAGAACGAAAGGUCCGACGAGCCUUCUACUAGCAAAGCCAAGGGAAAAGUUAACAAGUGAUGAAGACUUGUUGUUUAUGUGAUGUAUUCAUGUUUUAGACUCAUGUUAAAGUUGUGUAAGACUUAUUAUUUAUUUAUGUUUUCGCAUAGAUGUUUAAGGUUAGUUGACCUGGGAUUGUAUAUGUUGUUCAGAUGUUGUAACCCCAUAAGGGGAGGAUUUAUUUCUAUCUAUUGCAUGAGUUACAUUUAUUAUGGGUAGAUAGACAUAUGAUAAUUGUACAAUGAACACCAAAUCCAGUGGAAAUGAAGUACCUGGAUUUGGGGGUGUCACAGAUUUAGCCUCCCAACAGUUAGCUUAGGUAUUCUAGAGGUCAACCGACCUGCUAACUAACUGUCAAUUUGAGUUAGCUGUAAAUUGAAGCCAACUAACUGAUCUAUGAAACUCAACUACACAACUCACUUUUUCUUUACUAAGGAUUGCCGGAUUGGGCUUGUGAAAAGGCUGGGUAUUGCUUUAAUUUGGGCCCAAAAUCUUAAAAUCAAUGUAACACAUUUGCAAGCAUACUUAGCAAAAUUUAGUAUGGCCCAAAUAUUUCAAUAUGGACUCAUAUUAAGUAUAAAACACAUGAAUUUUAUCAACCAUAUUUUUUAGGCUAUCAACAAUGGUUAACACAUAUAUCAUUAAAAUGAUGGUUCUAUGUAGUUUUAAAUAAAUCAUGAUAGUACAUCAUUUCUUUAUUUGUUAUUAAAUAACACUUUUUUUUAUCUUAAUAUAAUUAACUCUUUAAACACAUAGAUAGCUUCAUGUCAAGAAUCUUUCUCAAUUAAGCCAUCUUGGCUUUCCUUAUCAUUCUUGAUAUUUAUUUAACAUUAUAUUAAUGUAUAUUAUUCCUCCCCUCCUUUACCAUAGAAAGUCUUGAGAAAUAUAUAUAUAAGUUAAUAAACAAUAAAUAAAUUAAUGCCACUUCAAUUAGGUAUAUAAUAAUAAUAAUAAAAUUAUACCCAAAAUUUGACAUUAUAAUAACUGAAUAUUACAUAAGAUUUUCUGAGUCAUUAUAGUACUAUUCAUACGGUACUAUUCAUGAGUACUGUUCACAACAGAAUUUAAUUUAUUUUCUUUAUCUACGUUAUCUUUUAUGAAUCUUAUUCUUGAAGUUGAAUUCAUGUUAUGAUCUCACUUGAUUCAUUCUUUAUGUCAUUAUCAUAAAUAUUGUCAGACUUAAAUUAUGUUGAAAGUUAUCUUUGGCCCAUAGUGCAAAGAUGAACUGUUGAUUGAUGAAUAUCUUUAGCCCAUAGUUCAAAGAUGAAUUGUUGAUCGAUAUCUUUGGCUCAUACUGCAAAGAUGAACAGUUGAUCGAUAUCUUUGGCCCGUAGUGCAAAGAUGAAUAGGUGUUUGGCAUGAUCAUGAGCACUGGUGAUAUAAACAAUUAUCUUUGGCCCGUAGUGCAUUGAUAAUUCGUUGAUUGGAAAUAAUUAUUGAUUGAUGUUAAAUAGAUAAAAUAUUGAUGAUGGACUUUUAAAUCAUGGAAGAUACACUACAAGAAAAAAGCUUAAGUCCGAUGGAAUACUCCGUCGGACAUAGGCCUAUUCAGUCGAAAAUAUAUUAUUUCCGAUGAAAAUAUCCGUCAGAUAUUCGGUCGUAAAUAUUCGCGUCGAAAAUAAGAUCCGUCAAAAAUUCCGUCGGAUAUUCAUUAUCCUCGACGAACGUAUCUCCGACGGAUGUUCGUCGAACAUGAACUAUCUUCGACAGAAUAUAUAGGAUGAAACUUUUCGUCGAAUAUACCAAUACCUAUUUCUGACGGACUUAUUCCCUCGACCUUAUACUAUUUCCCACUGAAAAAUAAAAUAAUCAGAUAUUUAUUAAAAUUUUCUAUUUAUUAACUUCGACGGAAUUUACGUCGGACAUAUCAUUGUUACGAUGGAUAUAGUCCGUCGAAGUUAACGUAUGUUCGACUGAAAAUUAGGACAUUUCGGCAUUUAUUAAAAAUUGAUUAUUUGUUAACUCCGAGGGAAGUUCCGUCGAGCAUACCCUAUUCCGUCAGAAUUAACUAAUUUUUUUUUUUAAAUGCAGAUUUUAAAAGUUCAGUUUCUAGGUGUUUAAACCCAUUAAUGUACCUAUAAUCUGUCACAACCCAAUACACAGUAAUAUAAACCUGUAUAUCACAUUCAAAUAUGUAAUGUAGCACUAAAAUGUAAUCUUUAACUCAUUAUCAUUCACAUUCACAUUCAAAUAUCCACCAAAACGUAUUAUAAGCUAACCAAUUACAAAUAUAAGCUAAUGUUCCAUAAAUGUUAAACAAUAUAAUUUACAAUACUUGUACAGACACAAUUAGACAAUACAAUAUAUAUAAAAGUUCUAGAAUAACAUGAAUAUAUACAAAUGAACUAUAAACUAGUAAAAGUAUCAUCAUCGGGCGGAGGUGAACGACGCUGCUCUGGUGUAUGGAAAUCAGCGUCGUGCUCAUGCUCAUCAUCGCCAGCCUGCUCGCCAUCGCCACCCUGUUGAUAGAAUCAAAAAUAUAAAUCAUUAGUCCGUAUAUAUAUAUAUGUGAGAAUUAACAAACUAGCCUUAAUUGAAAAACAUAAACAAUAAGAAUACCUAAGUAGGUGGGGGCGGACGAAAAGCCUCCUCCAAGAAGGUAAUCACCAUCUGGAGCAUCUUGGCGCUCUAAGCGUCGAACUGCUCCCGUGGUAAUCCCGUACUCUCUGCAGAGGCCCCUGCUAUAAUAUCCUGAGCAAUCUAGUGAAGACGAGAACUGGAAGGCAACUGCUGACGUCGAUAGACCCGCUACAACAAAAAGGCUUAUUUACGACGGAAUAUUCGGUCGGCACUAAGCUUAUUCCGUCGAGGGUAACCUCAUCUCCGACGGAAUAUUCGGUCAGAAAUUCGGUCGUAUAUAAGCACGUGAAAAAUAAGUCCGUUGAUUCUUCGGUCGGGAAUACUUACUGUCGACGGAACUAUUGUCGACCGAAUAUUCAGUCGGCGUUAAUAUAUCCCCGACUGAAAUGUGUCUGUCGAGGAUAUUCGGUCGAUCCUAAGCAUGCCACUUGGCAGCCUGGCAAAAAAGGAAAAUCAUCUUACGUGCGACGGACUUCCGUCGACUCUAUAAUUCGUCCGUCGAGGUUAUUCGGUCGAGGCUAUGUAUGCCACGUGGCAAUAUACCGAAAAUGAGAAGAACCUUAACCUCGACGGUUAUCCGUCGAUAAUAACAUUAUUCCGUCGAGGUUACUGUUUUUUUUUUAAAUAAUUUUUUUGUUUUUGCAAUAUCCAGGGAGUUAACCCACAUCUUGUACCUGUACCUGUACCUGAACCUGUUUUUCCAACAUCACAUACACAAGCUAAAUUAAGCUAAAUGUCAAAAACAUCCCAUUACUACUAGCAUAACCGCAACAAACCAAAGUAAUGAAAUGUAAAGCCGCAUUAAUCAAAGUAAAUUAAACUAAGGUAAAUUACAAAAGAUCCCAUUAAUCUAAACUAACUACAACAAACAUCCCAUUAAGCAAAAUUAAGCUAAGUGUCAAACCGCAACAAAACCAAAGUAAUUAAUGAUAAGGUACUUUAAACUACAAUAUGUACGUCAAAAGUUAUGUAAAAUUAAUAUAAAAGAAUUUAAACUACAAAAGAAUGUAAACUAAGUAAAGCUAGUAGAGCCCUCGGUGUGAGAAGGAUCAUCGGGCGGGCGUCGACACUGCUCUGGAGUAUGAAAAUCGUCAUCCCGCUCGUCAGUCCGCUCGUCACCCUGUUGAUACAAUAUAAUGUAACUCAUUAGUCCAUAUAUAUGAUUCAGUUAAAGAUAACUAAAUGAAAAUUAAAUAANNNNNNNNNNNNNNNNNNNNNNNNNNNNNNNNNNNNNNNNNNNNNNNNNNNNNNNNNNNNNNNNNNNNNNNNNNNNNNNNNNNNNNNNNNNNNNNNNNNNNNNNNNNNNNNNNNNNNNNNNNNNNNNNNNNNNNNNNNNNNNNNNNNNNNNNNNNNNNNNNNNNNNNNNNNNNNNNNNNNNNNNNNNNNNNNNNNNNNNNNNNNNNNNNNNNNNNNNNNNNNNNNNNNNNNNNNNNNNNNNNNNNNNNNNNNNNNNNNNNNNNNNNNNNNNNNNNNNNNNNNNNNNNNNNNNNNNNNNNNNNNNNNNNNNNNNNNNNNNNNNNNNNNNNNNNNNNNNNNNNNNNNNNNNNNNNNNNNNNNNNNNNNNNNNNNNNNNNNNNNNNNNNNNNNNNNNNNNNNNNNNNNNNNNNNNNNNNNNNNNNNNNNNNNNNNNNNNNNNNNNNNNNNNNNNNNNNNNNNNNNNNNNNNNNNNNNNNNNNNNNNNNNNNNNNNNNNNNNNNNNNNNNNNNNNNNNNNNNNNNNNNNNNNNNNNNNNNNNNNNNNNNNNNNNNNNNNNNNNNNNNNNNNNNNNNNNNNNNNNNNNNNNNNNNNNNNNNNNNNNNNNNNNNNGGGUGCAGGGUGGGGGGACCGGUGGAGAUUGAGGUGAUUAGCCGGUGGAGAUCGAUCGAGGGAGUUGGGAGCUUAUGAGAGAGAGAGAGACGUAGUCUAGAGAAAUAGAGAGGGAAAUGUAAAAAUAGAGAGGGAAAUGAAAAUGAGAGGAAGCAGGGAAGGCGAAGGGUUUUUUUAUGUUUAUUUCUGAUGGAAGUCCAUCGCGGUUGUGUCAGUCGACGUUAUGAUAACAUCGACGAAUUAUUCAGUCGAGGAUGACACAUAUUCGGUCGACUAUAUAUUCGCGCUGGCGGGAAACCCUCGCACCAAGGAGAAGAUCUUAAAGCUGACUGAUGUCAGUCGAGGAUACAUUAAUUCCAACUGAAUUACUUUCGACUAAAUAUUCGGUCAGUCUUAUAUUAACAUCGACUGAAUAUGUUUAGUCGACAAUAAUUCCGUCGGAAAUAAAGCUUUUUCUUGUAGUGACCGGAUCAGUACAGAACUUAUCCGACAUGGCCCCUAUCAGCCGCCGGAAGAUAUCGUCAUCCAAGCCAGCACCCGUAUGUGAUGGUCCGACAUGUGCUCUCGGACGCUGGUGCUGACUGGAGCCUAUAAAGAUAUACAAAUUUGAUUACUAAUAAUAAUUUAUAUAAUAUGAUAAAUUCGGAUAAUUUCGUGAAACAUAAAAAAAUAUUACCUCUAGGAAGUGUAUAUACGGGUAUCCUCGGCAGACCCAACACUCGAUAUCUGCCGGUACUGCUAGUAGGGGGAUCCUGAGACGCGACCCAUAGUCUCAGCUCCUCAUCCCGAUCUAAUACAAUAUCGAGAAGAGGGGUGGCGGAAUCUAACGGCUCAGAACUCCUCCUAAUAGUCUCCAGUUCAGCUAUACGCUCGUCCCGAAGCCUCUGAAAUCGGUCCUGUAAUGUAUUCUGUAUAUGUAUGUUAAUUAUAUCAUUUUAUUUAUGAUUGAAUAUUAUUAAAAGCUAAAUAGUAAGAUGAGUUAUACCCGUAUAGCUAAAGUUGCCUGAGACAAAGACGCUCGUCCUUAGGCAUGUGAGCUCGAUCCCAAAGCUCUAGAAUGGUAGGAUCUCGGCCCAAGGUCCUCCCCAAUGCCUAAUAAAAACAUUCAUAAAACAGGUCUUAAGUAUUUGUGUGAAAACUUGACACAUAAAUAACUAAAUACAACGCACUUACCGUCUUCGCCUCCUCGAACGACUGAGAACCAGUGGUGUGUACUAUCCGUAUGAUUGACCUUGAAUAUUUUCAAUCACUUUUGAUUCCCCGUGAUGAGUCCAUACGAAGUACCCAUCCACAAAUCCACGAGAAAAUAAGUCCAAUUUAAUCUCGUCGACUUUCUUCCAAAUUAGAUUUUUACACUUGACACACGGGCAUCGUAUCUUCCCGUUCGGAUCAUCCGUAUGUAGUGCUUUGUUCAAGAAAUCUAAAACCCCAACACGAUAAGCUGAGACUAAUCCCCUCCCAUCACUGGGUAUCCUACGGUACAUCCAACUCCGGUCGGCUGACAUUUUUAACUACACAGAAGUACGCAUUAAGUUAAUUUGGAUAUUCAUGCGUGAAUUAGAUUUACCUAGUAUCUCUACAGGACAGGGGUAAGGCUUCUAUCCCGUUAUUGAAUGCGUCUCGUCACUAGUGCAAACACGUUGAGUACGUUUCAUGAGUUUCAAGAAAAUUUCGGCAGCACCUCCCCAUGGUCUCCAAGCACACGAAAUAGACUAAGAUAACUUAAUCUAAGUAUGCACUCAGAGAACAUAUAGAGAUAACAGUCGAUUAGUCCUCAAAAUAACAAGAAAUGUAUCGUUUCGUAUUUGUACCGGCCUAAGUGAGAGACAUAACAUCCAAUAACAGUCCCAAACUGGGGACUGCUCGACAAUCACCCCUAUUGAGUGUAUGUCAAACGGGUUUCUAAGUUUCAAAGUAUAGUACAUAUAUAAUUGAAAAUGCUACUUAGUUUAUUAAAAAUUGUGGCAAACUACACAAAUGCUACUUAGUUUAUGAGAAUUGUUAUGUGGAAUCUCUACUUGAGUCGGCAACCGGGAAAAAAAAAAGUUCGUAGUUCCUGUUAUGUCUUAUACUCGAAUAAUAAAGUUAAUUCAAUUACUGCAAACAUUCCUCACUGUUCCAUCAUAGCAGAUGACAACAUCCCGAAGGAGUUCCAUUAAGCUAUUGAACAAGGUUUUAGCUUAAACAACCCUCUAGAUGAACGAACGAUCACUUCUCUGCUAGGAAUGAAUCAUCUCCCCAAAUGGGUCCAAUCCAUGAUAUAGACAGCUUCUCACCACUCCGAAUUCCUCAAAUAGAUAGUUCUCAUACAAAAGGUGAGACGUUCUGUGAGAACUACCCAUCUGAGGAAUUCGAAGUGGUGAGAAACUGUUUAUAUCAUGGAUUGGACCCAUAUGGGGAGAUGAUUCAAUCCUAUGAGAGAAGUGAUUGUUCGCUCAUCUAGAGGGUUGCUUAACCUAGAACUUUGUUCAACAACUUAUUGGCACUUCUUCCGGAUGUUGCCAUCUAUUAUGAUGGAACAGUGAGGAAUGUCUGCAGUAAUUCAAUUACCUUUAUUAUUUGAGUAUAGGACACAAACAAGAAAUACAACCCCUUUUUUUUAAUUGUUGCCGAGGAACCGAUUGGAGAACUAUUAGCUGCAACUGCUAUGUCAAAACCUGCAUACAAGAAAGAGUACAUAUAUGUAGGGAGAAUAUUAUUGCAUUUAUAUAUUGAAAAUUGUGGCAAACUAAACAAAUGCUACUUAGUUUAUUUUGCCAAUGGUAAACUAAGUAAGUGGUACUUAGUUUAUGAGAAUUGUUAUUUGGAAUCUAUAGAGUUUACUGUUCGACAUUCACUCCUAGCUACUUAGUUUAUUUUGCCAAUGAUAAACUAAGUAAGUGGUACUUAGUUUAUGAGAAUUGUUAUUUGGAAUUUAUAGAGACUACUACUGUUUGACAUUUACUCCUAGCUACUUAAUUUAUUUUGCCAAUUAAUGAUAAACUAAGUAAGUGGUACUUAGUUUAUGAGAAUUGUUAUUUGGAAUCUAUAGAGACUACUGUUCGACAUUCACUCCUACUUAGUUUAUUUUGCCAAUGAUAAACUAAGUAAGUGGUACUUAGUUUAUGAGAAUUGUUAUUUGGAAUCUAUAGAGACUACUGUUCGACAUUCACUCCUACUUAGUUUAUUUUGCCAAUGAUAAACUAAGUAAGUGGUACUUAGUUUAUGAGAAUUGUUAUUUGGAAUCUAUAGAGACUACUGUUGUUCGACAUUCACUCCUAGCUACUUAAUUUAUUUUGCCAAUUAAUGAUAAACUAAGUAAGUGGUACUUAGUUUAUGAGAAUUGUUAUUUGGAAUCUAUAGAGACUACGUACUGUUCAACAUUCACUCCUACUUGUCAAACGAGUUUCUAAUUAAAUUCCAUAAGUAUAUUAUUUUACUUAAUCGAAAACAUUCUUAUUCAAUUUCUUUUGUAGUAUAUUAUAUUAUAGUAUAUAAUUGGUUUAUUUAUUUAUUAAAUUUAAUUUAUCUUGUAUUAUAUUAUAUAGUUUUUAAAUUUUUUUACUAAUUUCGUUAUUAAAUUUAAUUUAAAUUAUUUUAAUUAAAUUAAAUUAAAUUAUAUUUUAUUCUAAUUUUAUUCUAUUAUUUUUAUUUUAUUUUAUGUUUUAUUGGAUUGUAUUUUAUUUGUAUUAUAUUAUAUAUUUUAAAAUAUUUUUUAUUAAAUUUUAUUUAUUUAUUAAAUUAAAUUUUAUUUAUUUUUUUCAUUAUAUUUAUUAAAUUUAAAUUAUUAUAAUUUGUUAUUAUUAUUUUGUAUUUUAUUUUAUUUUAUCUUAUUAUUACUCAUAUUAUAUUAUUUUAUUUUAUUUAAUGUAUUUUAUUUAUUUAUUAGAUAUAAUUUAAAUUAUUUCAUUUAGGAACAAUUAUUUUAUUUUAAUUUAAUUAUUUUAUUUUAUUUCAUUUCAUUUUAUCUUAAAUUAUCUUAUCUUAUCUUAUGUUAUUUAAUUUUAUUAUUUUAUAUUAUAUUAUAUUAUCUUAUAUUAUUUUAUUUUAUUUAUAUUUUUAUUAUUUAUAAUAUUAUUUUAUUUUAUUUAGUAGUACAAAACUAAGUAAAUAUUACUACAAACUAGGCUAUUUUAGUUUUGGAAAAUUAAUUAAGUAACAUAUUUAAAUAGUUACAUGGGCCCACAAAAUUUGCAAUUGAAGAAUUCUGACAGAAAUUCAGUCAGAAAUUCCAUCGAAAAUAUCAAAUACACUCAAGUGUAAUAAGUUGUAAUUGCAUAAAGAAAAACAAAUUGAAACAUUUACAUCCUAAUUUGCACAACAGUAGUCAUAACAGUUAGGCAGAACACAAUUUUCGGCAACCCAAUUUUCAUAACAGUUAGGCAAUUAACACAACAGGUAGCCACAAGCAAUAACCCAUUUCGGCAGAACACAAAUAAUAACCCUUAUAUUGACAAUUAACACUUAAGUCCCAAUUUCAGCAAUGAAUCCGAAAUAUAUAUAGUAGCAGUUAUCAUCAAUAUAUAUAUAUAUAUAUAUAUAUAUAUAUAUAUAUAUAGUACCAAUUUCAGUGNNNNNNNNNNNNNNNNNNNNNNNNNNNNNNNNNNNNNNNNNNNNNNNNNNNNNNNNNNNNNNNNNNNNNNNNNNNNNNNNNNNNNNNNNNNNNNNNNNNNNNNNNNNNNNNNNNNNNNNNNNNNNNNNNNNNNNNNNNNNNNNNNNNNNNNNNNNNNNNNNNNNNNNNNNNNNNNNNNNNNNNNNNNNNNNNNNNNNNNNNNNNNNNNNNNNNNNNNNNNNNNNNNNNNNNNNNNNNNNNNNNNNNNNNNNNNNNNNNNNNNNNNNNNNNNNNNNNNNNNNNNNNNNNNNNNNNNNNNNNNNNNNNNNNNNNNNNNNNNNNNNNNNNNNNNNNNNNNNNNNNNNNNNNNNNNNNNNNNNNNNNNNNNNNNNNNNNNNNNNNNNNNNNNNNNNNNNNNNNNNNNNNNNNNNNNNNNNNNNNNNNNNNNNNNNNNNNNNNNNNNNNNNNNNNNNNNNNNNNNNNNNNNNNNNNNNNNNNNNNNGGGGGACCGGCAGUGACCGGAUGGGUGGGGGCGGGGAGGAUGAGAGAGGGAAGGAGAGUACUGGGGGGACUGGUGUGGGGGCGAGGAGGAUGAGAGAGGGAAGGAGAUCGAGUGAGAGAAUGAGAGAGGGUGGGGGCGGGGAGGAUGAGAUCGAGGGAAGAAGAGUGAGAAGAGUGAGAGAUAAACGAGCGUCUGAAAUGAAAAGGACGAAGGUGAAAUGUUUUUAUUUGUUAUCUUCGACGGAAUGUCCGUCGGACAUACGUCUCUCGAAAAUAACUUAAGUUUGACGAAACGUCCCUCGGAAUUAAUGUUUGUUCGUCGAAAUUACUUUUCGCGGUGACGCCAAACUUGGCGCCAACUGGGGAGGUCUAAGAUCGACGGAAUUCCGUCCUAAUUAUUUUAUUUUUGAGGGACUUAUAUCCGACACAUUAUUCCCUCGGAAGUAAUCAUAUUUCGACCGAAUUUAAUCCGUCGAGGAUACGUCCGUCGGAAAUAGGCGAUUUUCUUGUAGUGAUAAUAGACAUCAUGCUCUACUUGACUCUUCUAAUGGAUUGUUGUUUCCGCUGCAGUUGUUGAUCUAAAAUUUGUUGUCUAUUGUAUUCUAUCAUAUUUUUCUUUGUUGAGGACUAAGAAUAAUUUGUUCUACAUUAUUUUAGUCAUAAUAUUCUUUACUGAGCUAGUUGAGCUCACUCUUUUCCUUUUGGUUCCAUUGUUCUUCUGAGGAGGCGAGAAUAUAGUUGGGACUUGUUGGGGUAUGGAGUGAUGGUUCAAGACGGUUAUUAUAGCAGUCCUCACUAUUUUAUAAAAUAGUGUAUCAAUAAUUGUAAUGAGGACUUUAUUUAAGCUUGGAUAUUGUCUACAAGACAAUAUUUGUAUUAAAACUCACAGCAUAUGUGUUGUCGUAUUUUGCACGAGAAUUGUAUUAAUGAAGUUUGUAUUUUGUUUCUGUACCAUGUAUUUGGCGACUCAUAAUGGAUUGCGUGCACCUAUUUUGGGGGCGUCACAGCGGUCGCUGAUAGACGGUCGCAGAUAAACCUUUUUUUUAUAAUGAUAUAAAAUAUGAGAAAUAAUUUUCAUGUCAUAAAUAGGUCGGCGCGUUCAACAUGCAUAUUAGUACUUGUUUUCUUUUGAAGAAUUCUCUAUCUUCCUUGUUAAUUCAAGAUUUUUAUCAAGGUUUAUUCCUUUGUUGGUAUUAGAAUGUUAUAUAAUCUUUAUGUUUGUGUUAGUACAUUAAAUUAAACAAGUUCCCGUUGCGUCGAUUUAAAAAAUUCUAAAAUUAUCAUAUAGCAGUUGCAAUACAAUGAUCUUAGUCCUCUCUAGAUAAAUAAAUAUACAAAUCUUUUCUCUAUCACAAGUAAGGGUGACAAUUUUUAACACGUCGCGUUAACUCGACAUGAGAGGGUUUAGUAUAGAGUAUAAACAGUUUUCGUUUAUAAACAUGUCCAUAUAUUUAAUAUGAAAUUUAAAUAGGUCAAACACAUAUAAUCAACUGUUUGACACAUUUAACAUGAUUAAAUACGUCUAUUUAAAAUAAUUUGAAAAUAAAAUAUUGAGUUUUAAAAUAAUAAUAAUUAAAUACGUCUAUUUAAAAUAAUUUAAAAAUAAUUUAUCGUAAAUAUUGAGUUUUAACAAUAAUAAUUAUGUCAUAGCUAAAUAGACAAGACAAAAAUUAUAUUGAUUGAAAUUACGUCCUUUUGGAUUGUUUACCACAAGACCGUUAUCAAAACAAGAAGCUGGUGGAAUAAUGAAUUUUCUAAACGCAUCAUACAUUCAAGAGACAGGAAUUGAACUUUUCAACACAAAUUUGGCAAUUCCAAACUAAACUAUUUCUGAUCAUGACAAGGACUAACUAACAUGCAUCACCAAAGGAAGAGAGAAUGGAUUAAAGAAGCUAGUCAAGUUUCCAAAAGAUGAUUUGUUCUUCUUGACUGACUGACUGACUUAUGCAGACCUCCAUCCACUUGCCUAUUAAUGGUGUCAUAGGUCCACAACUUAAUAAAUAAACCAACUUGGAAGGUUGUUAAGGUUUUGUUAAGCUUACUCAAACCAAACUCAUUCACAAAUUCAUAUAUGUUGAAUUACAUUUAUGUCCCCUAAACUUUGAUCUGGUUAUAGUAAAAUUGUCUCAUCACAUAUAUCAUUAUAAAAUUUUAUAAUUUUUUAUUGCAUUAAUUGAUUAUAGAAAAUGUUACAUAUAAGUAUAACCUCCUGUUUGUGAGCCAACACUACAACAUUUGUUAUAACAAAUAUAACAAAAAGAGAUAGAACUCCAUGAUGAUAUGUGAUGUGACAACUUAAUCAUAACUAAAUCUCUUAAACUGCAUUAAUUUCAUAUCAUAUUUGCACUUAUAAAGGUGUAAUGUUUGUCCCUUGUAUGUACUCAGGGGUGGAUCUACACUUAGCCAGUGUAGACAAUUGCCUACAUUGAUUUUUUGAAAAACAAAAAUAUUUUAGGGGUAGUUUUGAAUAUAUAUAUAUAUAUAUAUAAUGCAUAAAAUUAGGGGAUUAGAUUAAAAAAAAAUCAAGUGAUUGGAUAAGAAAAAAGAUGAGCUUUUACAUUACAUUUAUGAGUUUUUGAUAGAAAAUAAUAAAAAAACUCAAAUUAGAAUUAAAAAAAAAAUAGAAAACCUAUAAAUUUUCUUUUGUGUUACAUGUAAGUUUAGAAAAAUCAUAAAAAAAUUAACUUUUAAAUAAAGAUUAUUACUAAUUUACUCUUAUAUUAAAUUUUCUUGUGUUUGUAUAUAAAGUGUAUGUAAGGACUACAAAAUAUUUACGAAUUUUUUUUCUUUGUAGUUCAAAUUAAUCUAUUCAACUUUUAGACUAAAAAUUUUGACAAAAAGUAGCCAAGUCUUCUGUUUAUUUUUUUUCUAUUUUUGUCUCUUUAAAAAACUCAAAAACAAGAGAACUUAACAUAAAAUUAACUUUUUUUCAUUAAUUUUUUUUUGUUUGUUUCAAAACUCAAAAAAAUAGUGUUAUGGAAAGGAAGGGGUAUAUUGUAUUUUAAUUUUAUUUACUUUGUUCUAUUGUUUAUUUAAUUAAUAUUUUUCUUAAUAAAAAAAAUAUUAUUAAAAUAAUUUGGUUACACUAAAAUAGAAUUCUGGAUCCGCACUUUGCACUUCUGUCAAUCUUGUGUUCGAGUAAGACAAAAAAUUAGGACCUCAUAUUUCCACAUGAAAAACUGAAAUUUCUAUACAAUUCUCUUUUACUCCAUUCGUCCUUAUUUAAAUGACGUUUUAAAAUUUUUUAUGUCUAAUUAUUUGACAUUUGUUCAAAUAUAAGAGAAUUAAUAAUAAUUUUUCUAAAAUUACCCCUCAUUAUUCUUUCUACUUUUUUGAUACUUUAAACUCUUUCUUUUUCUCUCUCCAUAUCUCAACAAAACUCUUCUCAUUCUAACAAAACUCUCCUUAUCCCAACAAAAAAUUUAAGAAUAUUAUAGACAAUUGAGUACUAUAUUUAAUACUUUUCAAUCAUUAUCUUAAUGUUUGUGUCCAUCUCUAAAACGUCAUUUAAAUAGGGACGGAGGGAGUAUAUCGAUAUGAGACCCAUUUAUUAUUCAUGUCAGAGAAAUCAUGUAAAAAUAUUAAUUUUCUAUAUGAAAAUAUUAAUUCUCAAAAAAAUAUAACUAGAUACAAAUAUGCAAGUAUAAAUGACAAAUAAGGUGAUAUUCAGUCGCGAAAUAUAUGUACAUACUACUUAGGAUAAAGGAAAUUUAAUUAGUCAUUCCUUAACCAAGAAAGAAAAUGAAGAUGAAGAUGAAGAUGAAGAUGAAAGAAAGUUUUGUAGUUUUGUUGUAUUUUAAAGUUUUAAUGAUUUUCAAAAAUAAAAUUAAUUAUAUGUUUCUAUUUGCUAUAAAAAAUAAAAAUAAAAAUCUUAAACGGUCUUCUUAUCAUGAAUACAUAAGAAAACCAAUAUUUUUUUAUUAUUUUUUAUAUUUUCACAUGUAAGACCUAUAUUAGCUGAUGUAUCGAAUUUUUAUUAAUUAAUAUAUUAGUCCUAUGUAUAAAAAUAUUAAAAGGUGAAGUUAAAAUAUGAAUUCUCAUGCUUAAGUAUAUGAAAGGACAGGGUACAUAGGUGUCAUGAUUAUCAAAUAGUUAUACAACUAAUUAAUACAACUAGUCUUCCUAAAAAAUCACAAAUUUGGUUGGCACAUACCUACUUGUGUUUACCUUAGUAUAAUGGGGGAGAAAUGUGGGAUAAUGAGGAAAUAGAAAUAUAUUAUUGAAAAAAAGGUUGAGAAAAUGGGAGAGUAGAAACAAUUAUUAAUUAAUCUUUUUCGUUUUAAAAUUAGAGAUACAUUUUAAUUUUUGAUAUCAAACGACGAUAUGUUAAACUUUGAAAUUGGUAGACUCGUAAAAUUUUAGAAAAUAAUAAAGUUUGUGAUUAAUAGAUUUUAUUAUAUACUAUACAAUUAUAAUAAUUGUAUAAAUUAAAAUUAAAUAAAUUCACAUCAAUUUAAAAUUUAAUAUAUCGUCGUUUGACCUCAAAAAUUAAAUUAUAUAUCUAAUUUUAGAACAAAAAAAAGUAUUAUUUUUAUUAUUUUACCUGAUAGCCUCGCCAAUGCUGCGACGCUAAAGGUUAGCUCGAUGAGUAAUAUUCUUCAACUUGAAGUUGAAUGACAGAUAAAUUGAAUAUAUUUAAUUUGAAUCCAUCUCAAUUAAUAUCUAGUUACUGCUCUAGAGAUUAGUUCAAUUUCCACUAAAAAUUGCACUAGGAGACGUACCAAAUAUUCCUUUUUGAUAAGGUAUAGUUUUCAACAAAUUGAAUAAUUAAUUAAGAUUGGACAAUUAUCAAAACUUUCAUAUCAUUCAGUGUCUUCUUGUCAUGAAAUAACUUAAUUACUACCUCUGUUUCUAAAAGAUUGUCGUUUAAGAUUAAUGCACACAGAUUAAGAAAUAUAAUUAAUACCUAACAAAAAUACUAUACUAUCCUUAUUAAUUGUCUCAACUAAUUAUUCCCCUCCCAAUGUUUCUUAUUCAAUUCAACCAAUUGCUUCUUAUUCAACCAAUUACUACUUGGAUUAUAGCAUUAAAUUGAAUAAGAAUCAUUGGGAAGGGAAGAAAAUUUUAAAUAGAAGAAAGCUUUAAAUAAGGGUAAAGUAAGAAAAAAAUAGCUAAUGUGUAUUGAUAAACUCAAAACGACAAUUUUUUUAAGACAAAAAAUACUUCUUAAAACGACAAGAACAGAGGGAAUAAUUAACUAAUCACUCUUUUAAAUUCAAAGUUUGGUUUAAGAACUAAACUAGUAUAAUAUUCUUUUGGCCAAACUAAACUAAACUAAGUUCUCCCACCAAUUGUGUUUAUCUCUUGUUUAUUAUCAACAAUAAUAUAAUAAUGCAUGUUUUAUUUUUACUAGAGAGAGAUUCAUUUAUCUACUAAUAACCUCUCAGUUCCAAAAUUAAAAAUAUAAUUUUUUUAAGUUCAAGCGACAGUAUAUUAAAUUUUAAAUUGAUGUGAAUUUAUUAUACUUAUAUAAUAUAUAAUAAAAAUUGUUAAUCACAAAAUUUAUUUCAUUCUAAACUUUUUUAAUUAGUCAUAUUAAUUUUAAAGUUUAAUAUGUUGUCGUUUGACCUCAAAAGUUAAAUUAUAUGUCUAAUUUUGCAAAUAAAUGGAAUAAUAUUUUUCUUCAUUCUCAAAGGGUUCAUUCUUAAAUAAUUAUAUAUGCAAAGUGUCAGCAUUAAUUUUCCUUUUAACUAAUAUGAGAUCAUCAACUAGAUUUAACAGAAUAAUUAUAAAAUAGAAGAUUAUAAAAAAAAAAAAAAUUGUUCCAUAAUAGAGAAAAGAUGAAGAAUGAGAAGAAGAAUAUUACUCUAGAAGAUUACUUAAUUAGACGACAAUUCUAAGAAGAUUCUAGUAGUAAUAAACAACGGUUUGCAGUGAGAACAUAGAGAGAUUUUUGAAUCAAAAGUCUCCUAUAUACACCAACUAAUGCUUUAAUUAACAUUAAUAACAGAAAACAUAAUAAAUAUUUUUUUUUUUUGAUAUUUUUAUAUAUAAUUGUUAACGACACUUGAUAUUUUAAGUGAUAUUUAUUGUUCAACUGUGAUGAUUUAUGUAUAAACUUUGAUAUUUAUUGUUCUAUGAAUUGAUCAAAACUUUACUAUUAGACUAUCACUUUUGAUCUAACUAAAUUAAUCAGGUUAGUUUAACUAGUAACUGUCAUGUUUUUUGAAUGAAUCUUGAUUUCAGACAGUUCAAAAUGGAAAGUUUAUUUGGACAAUUUAUAAAAAUAAUUCUCAUUUUAUAAGCAUAAAACUGCAAUUCGAAUGAAUUUUGUAUUACAUGUUCUUUCUUUUUUACUUCAACUAAUACUUAUAUUGACAUCUCAGUCUCAUAUCGUAACAUGCGGAUACUUUGGUAUGUAUAUAAGACCCUAAACUACUAUCAUAAUACAUUUAAUUAUAUUUUAGAUGAAUAUGUAAUAACCUAAGAUAACUCAAAAAAAUAUUAUUAAAACAGUGCAUUGAAUUUUAAUAUGUUAAGAUUUGAUUUAAAUUCAAAAAAUUUAUCUAAAUUGUUACACAAAAAAAGAAUAUUUACUCCAAAGCAGUCUUAUUUAUAAAAAGAAUAUUAAUAACAAAGAGAAUGGGGAAACCUUCCGUUAAUAGUGGGGAAUUAAUAAUAGUAGGGAAAAUAAACCUUAUAUUAUACUCCUAGUUACCCUCCCACAAUGGUAUCUCUUGAUUCGAGGAUUCACUUUUCAUAUUUAAUGUAAACAUUGUAAUGUCAAAUGUCACUAGAAAGUUAAUUCUGGUCUUGGACAAGCUUCUGCUUUUAUUCAUUUAGAGAUACAAGUAUUAUAUAUAUAUAGAAAUGACUUCUAUAAUCAUACUUAUUUUCACAAUUAUAAAGAGUGGAAAGUCCUAUGAUAAAUAGAAAAUACAAAUUUAUAUUUCCUAAUUUCAUCCCAUAAUUAUUGAAAUACUUUUUUUUUUGGUGUGUGGUAGGGAAUUUAAGAUGAAUCAAAAACAUAUUUUGAUAUUAUAUUUUUAUGCAUAUUUAUAUAUUUUGGUAUAUUUAGAUAUUAUAUUUCAUUUAUAUGACGAAAAUUUUAAUAAUAUAAUAUUUAAAUAUAAUUUUUACAUGUUUUAAAAUCUAUAUAUGCCACAAAUAUAAAAAAAAAUAUUUCAAUAAUUAUGGGACGGAAGAAGUAUAAUUUUUUAGAAUCAAACCUAAUUAAAAUCUAAUGGUUAAUGAGCCUUGAUCUAUAUUAAUCACUCGCUCUAUUCCGCGAAAAAAUUCUCCUAAUUAAUAAAUUGUUGGUAAAUAUAAUUUCAUGAUAAUAAAAAUUUUAAGUGCAAAUUUAAUAAUGGCAAAAAUGGAGGAGAGGGCUACCUUAAGCAAGCCCUCAAAAUGACGUUAUUUUGCAUAAUUGAAUAUACUUCUUCUAAUAUUAUGCACAAAAAAAAUACUUUUAUAAUUUUUUAAAAUAUUAUUAUUAUAAAAAUAUAUAUGAGGUAGUCCCGACUUAAUAACAUAAUAACAUAAUAUUAUUUUAUACUAUUAUUAAUAAUAAAAAAAUUAUCUACUUUUUUAUAAAAUAAUUUUUUUUAGCAAAUAAAAACUAAAUGAGGACUACUAUAGACUAAGACAUCUUUGACGUAUACAAACUUUCAUGCGUAAAAUGUUGACGAAGAACAUGAGUUAUUUAUAAAUGGAGAGAAUUAAUAAUAAAUGCAUGGUUUCAACAUUAAGAAGACCUCAUAUAGUAUUAAUUAUUAAUUAUUAAUUGUUGAUGUGAUUCAUGCAUGUGCCUAACCCUAAAUUUUCAACAAUCCCAAGAAUAGGUCAACUUAUAAAUAUGAUUAUUUAUAAAUCCAAAAGAACUUAAUUCCUGCAAUUAAAAACUAAUCAUAUUCCAAUGGGAAAAUGGAAUAUAUAUAUAUAUAUAUAUAUAUAUGAGAUUUUUCUUCAUCUUAAUUCAAUUUUAGGGUUUAGGGUGUAGGUUCCAGUCUUCCAAUUCUAGCUUAAUUCCUCUUUAGGGCACAUGGCUGAAACGUAUACUCAGGGAUAUUUGUCUUCCAAGUCAUCUCAUAUAUUUGUGAUGCAUGUAGAGUGAAAUAAAAAUUGACAUUUAUUAUAAUUCCUAAAUAUAAUUAUAUGCAGAAGUAGCAACCCUAAAUAUUUUUAAAUUAUAUUAUACACUUGCAAUGAAUGAUAACCGUUGUUAACGUCAAGAUCUUUCUCCACGUCCCAAUCACGAAAGACGUCCUGAUCCUGCACAGUAAACACGACAAACACCACAAGCUUGACGGCUGGACCGCCGGAGGAUAGCUCAGGCGUAAGAGUAAGUAUGUCUGUUCACAAAGUUAAUUCAAGAGGAUAAUAGAAUUUAGUGUAUUGAGAGUGAUCAUUUAUGAGUUGUGUGAAUGUGUAUAUAUGAAUGAAACGUACCUCCUUGUGAAGACUUACUCACUAAGAAAUAAUAUCCUUGCUUGGAUUAUCGUGCCGCCCACUAUCACCUGACAUAUCCCCNNNNNNNNNNNNNNNNNNNNNNNNNNNNNNNNNNNNNNNNNNNNNNNNNNNNNNNNNNNNNNNNNNNNNNNNNNNNNNNNNNNNNNNNNNNNNNNNNNNNUUCACAUAACUUAAUUGAAUUAAAUGCACAAUUAGGAUUCCAUGACCUCAUUAAAUGUGUAAAUUAGGGUUCUCAUGGCCUAAUUGACUGAAUACAAAAAAGUCGGAAAUAAAUGUACUAGACCCGAGAGAAGCCUCCACAGGUCCCGAAGCAAAAGGCUCGGGGAAGACAUGUGACUACUUAAGUUCCAAGAAACUCUAUAAAUACCCCUUCCAUUCUAUGAAGGAGGGGACUCUUUUUGGGACUGGAGACUUUGGGAGCUGAGACCUCUUGCUGGACUUAAAAGCUUGAAUCUCUUGGAAUCCCUGUUACCCUAACAAUGUUUCUGAAUUCUAAGGAUUCUUGGACAUUCUCUCUCAACCCGAAGCACUCAAGAAGGCUCAUUGAAUCCCUGCUACUCUAAUAAGGUUUCUGAAUUCUAGGAGUUCUGUCACGCGUCAUUGGAGUAAUCGCUCACACGUUCUUCUCCCCUCUUCAAUCAAUCAAUCAAUUACGUACUCUUCGUUGAUUUCUCUCCUCCUCAACCAGUACGAAACCCUAAUCUUAGCAAGACACGAUUUCCUUGCCCACAUUUCUUUGGCGACUCUGCUGGGGAGGUAUAGAAUUCAUGAUGAGUAUGCCCACAACUCGAAGUGAGAGAACUACCGGAAGAGUUUCACCAACAACGAGCAUUACUUCACCGGAUCCAAUUUCAAGGCAAGCAAAUCAAGCUUUUUAAGGCAUGAAUCAAGAUCUCGAUCAACCUACCCUUGAAGAUGCCUCGGAAGGAAGUUCAACAUCACCAUACAUGGUUGAUCAACAACUAAUGAAUGUCAAGUAGACAGGUGCGAGAAGGCAAGGCGAGGAAGAAAGCGAAGAGUAGGCAAAUGAUGUGCAACUGGAGAUGCUCAAGGUGUAAGACCCCAACUUUUAGGAAUAAAGAUUAAAUUUUCUCGAAAUAUAUUUUUGAAUAUUAUGGUGUGAAUAUGAUAUAAUGUUAUAGUUGUGGGUAAUAUUUAUAAAUUUUGCAAAGUAAGCAAGUUGUUAUAAAAUAUUCGAUUGGUCGGGGAAUAUUCGUACGACGGCACAAUCAUUGGUGGACCCCACAACGGAAGUAUUGUCGUAGUUGGAAAAUGACAGAAUUAUCUUUUUAUAAAAAUAACGGCGAAAGUUUUACCAUUAAACUGUUGAACUACCCGGUAGUAAAAGUACAGUAAUACGCGUGGUUGCAUAGUAGCACACAGUAUUGAUUAUUGAUGCUUACGUGAGAAGUCACUUAGUUAUACUCAAUUAUUGCUACAGUAAUUGCUGCAUCAUAUCUCUCAUAUUGUUGAUUCAAUUAUUUUCACAGUAUCAUCUGCAUAAUAUUUUAUAUUAUUAAAUCAAUAAUUGAGAUGAAAAGGUUAUUCAUAUUAUUAUUUGCAAUAUUGACAACGUCUAGAAGUUCUGUCAAGGAGAGGUUUGGUCACCUAAUUGUGCGCCAAUAAGUUGAAAUCCUUAUCGGAAAGCCCCCUCUUUCCUGGGAACGACCUAGUUGUUAAAUAUUGUGAGUUAUAAUAUUAAUGAUGAAUAAGUUUGUAACGCCCCAGAAAAUCGAACCUUUGUAAAUACUUUUAAUAAUGAAUAAAAUAUUAUUAUUUAUUAUUAUUACGUGUGGAUAAGAUGAAUGUCGUUCUAUAACCUAGAAACGUUGAAAUGUCGUAGUAUUUUAACUUCGUGGGAGAAUUAAAGUGUUUGAAUUUCUAAGACGAAAAUAAAAGCUUUCCGAGAAAUUUUCUGAAAAACACUAUUCAUAGAUUUCUGCUCGGGAAUUAUUUUUGAACUUCCGAGAAAUGCGUAAUGUUAUAAUAUCAAGGUGAUAUGGAUUAUGUAAUAAUACCCUAAGUAUGGAAAACGUAAUAUUUCGCAUGCGGACUUAAUUUGGGAACGUUAGGUUUAUUAAGCGUUAAAGGAAGAAAGUUGUGAUUGUAUAAUGUGUAUUCAUUAUAUAAAGGUAAUGAAUGUAAGUAUAAUACGACGUAUUGUACUAUUAUGUAUGAAGAAUGAGAUAACGUAUAUUACGAAUUAAGAUACGAGCUAGUAUACGAAGAUUAUACGUGGGGUAUAAAUGUUAAGUUGUUAAAUCUAAGGUAAUGGACUUAUAGGAUUAUUAGCCUAAUAAGAGAAGUCCAAUAGAAGGUGACAAUCAAGCCCAAGUGUUUGAUAGAUCAUGAGUCCAAACUAUGGUAGCAUAAGCCCAAUAAGGAAGUAUUUAUAUUUAAUUAACAAGCCCAAUGAGAAGCCAUGAUCCAUGGGGCAAUCCAAGUAUAAAGUGGGUAGUCUUGAUGGGCAAAUAAUAUGUGUGAUGAUCAAGUAUUAGAAGUGGUUAACAAGUAGACUUGGAGGUUAAGUUAUGAAUAGUAAGGAGGUGGAGGUUAAGGAGGUUAAUUGAGGAGGUGGAUUAAAGGAGGUGGAUGGUUUAAAGACCAUUCUACCCUAGCUUUGGAUUGUCUAUAAAUACAAGCCUCAUUUAUUUUUGUUGGUUGUUAUUUCAUCCAACAAUUUCCUCUUAAGAUAAGCAACUUAUUUGGUAGAGAGAAUAAGUCACAUAAGCACUUAUAAGCCACUUCAAUUUUUGCUAGAUUUUCUAAAGUGAAGUGAAGUAAUAGUCUUCAAGGGUAAGACUCAUUUCUAUUAUCUUCAUCUCUUCUAUGAUAGGAUUGAUAGAGAAGGGGGAUUGUUUGAUAAUAACAUGUAAUAAGUCAUUGAGGAAUGAACUUAAGUCGAAUAAGUUGAAUAAGCAACUGGAAUUCUAAUAAGUUGAUAGAAUCAUGAAGAACUUGUCAUAUGUUUGUCAUAUGAUGUUAGUAUGUUGAAUAUAGUAUGAGAACAUUGAUUGAUGGACUUAAGUUUAUAGUAUGUCAUUAGCAUGAGAAUUUGUAGUUAAUAAGUUGAGUAAGUCAUUGACUUAUGAGAAUAAGUCAAAACCUACUUUGAUGAUAAGUUGGUAUGAUGAGUAAUUUGAAAUGUUCAUGUGUUGGUUAAAAUCCAUUUAGAAUGAUUAGUAAUGAAGUUUUGCCGAAAUUCACACGAUUAGACGAUAAUCGUUGAAUUCGUGAAAUUCUCGGAAUGGAAGUCGUAUUUUGUGUUUGAAGUCAGAAACGUUGGUUUUCGAUAAAGACAAGUCAUAUUUGGCAUUAUAUAGUUGCGAACUCAAAAAUGACCGAAUUCUGACUUAGAACGAAGAAACGAGCGUUGAACGUUCGCGGACGUUUAUCGUUUUCGUUAAAAAUGAACUCAUAGGUGAAAUUUUAGAAAAAGAAGUCAAAUAGAUAAAAUUCUUGCAUGAACGCAUAGAGUAUGUAAUUUGUGAACCGUAGGCUUUUGAACGAGCCAAUUCAGACUUAUAACGAAGAAGUUAUGAGUCCGAGAGUUUCGUAAAAUUUUUAAAAAUUGCAAACUAUCUGAGGCACAGAGUUGGCACCGUGGCGCCAACCCAAGGCCAAAUGAGUGGCGCCGCAGCGCCGUAACAGUGUCUGAGCACACUGCUAACUCGCGCCGCAGCGCGAGAUAAAGAACAAAGUGUGGCGCCGCAGCGCCGUAACAGUGUCUGAGCACACUGCUAACUCGCGCCGCAGCGCGAGAUAAAGAACAAAGUGUGGCGCCGCAGCGCCAAAUCCGGAUGUUAGACACUGCUAACUCGCCCCGCAGCGCGAGAUGAAGGGCAGUGGGUGGCGCCGCAGCGCCAACCCUAGGCAAUGGUCAGUAAAGAAUGUUUUCAAGUACAGAAUGAAUGAAAACUUGUUAGUAAGGAACUAAGAUAUAAGCAUAACAUUGUUAAGGCAUUGUAAGACACUUAAGUAUGAUGAUUAAGAGUUAAUAAUCAAUUGAAGAUGAAUGAAAUGUGAAUGACGUAAUGAAAGCCGAAAACCCAUAAUAGUAUAUCUAAGUCAGGAUUUACAUUGAGAUGAAGGGUAAGAUAUAAUAGUAUACAUACUUGAUUAUAUACAACCUAAUGUGGUACGUUAUAUGAUCAUGUAUUGUAGAAACGUAGUGACUUAAAGUAUACAUGUGUUAAUCAGUAAGCAGACGCUGAAGGCAAGUAUUCUAACCCUUGUUCCAGUUCAGUCUGGACAAGUUUUGUAAUUCAUGUAUUCUUUUACAUGAAGUCUUGAAUGAUGAAGUCUAAAGCCAACUCUUUCGGCUAGACUUAUAUUAUGAUUCUGCCAAGCAUGAUUUAUGUUUACCGAGUUAUAUUGGUAUGGUUUUCAAUCGAAGACCAAGUAUGCUAAAAUGUUUUUGUCGUUUAACGACAGGCACGUGAGGUUGCCACAACUUAAACGUAUACACGUUUAAUGAAUGUAGUGUUGAUCAACAUAGAGUACUAUGGGCUGAUCACCCAGAAGUGCUCGUAAGUUAUGCCGGAUAUACGGACUUAGUGUCGGGUUGUCCUUUUUAAAAGAAAUUAUGAACUGCUCAUAGUUUUGAGCCUUAGUUGAUAUUUUACUGAAUAUUGUUGUUGGAAAACAUUUUGAAUGAAAAGAAGUGCUAUUUUGAAUUAUCGAUAGUACUUCAUAACUAUUGUUCAGUUACUGAAGAUAUAUGAGUUCUAUGUUUCAAGCAUGUUGUUUAUUAGAAUUAUAGUACUUGUUAAGUAGUCAUGCUCACUCUUGCUUGAACUAUAUGAACACAGCUAAGAUCGAAUGGACCGAAGGUUCCGACAAGGAUAAAGGUAAGUUGAAGUCGAACCCUUAGAGUGCUGAUGUAAUAGUAUAGGUGAACGAUUCUAAUAUAUUUUAUAUUAUGACAAGAACAAAUGUAUGGGUUAUAAAGAACUUGGGGAAAUGUAAUAUUAUUUCUAAUAUAUAGAAGACAUAUUCGUUCUUUUGAGACUUUUGAAUUGAAUGUAUGUGUGAAUGGUAGUACCGUGUAGCACCAUCUUUCGGAUUGGAAGAUACCCGGAUUUGGGGGCGUCACAAAGUUCGUGUUGAUUAAAGAUGAAAUUGAUAGCUCCAUUGUGCUGGGAUUAUUAGUGUUAGUGGAAAUCGACAUCUAUUUUGAUAAUAAUGGAUGUCUGGAGGUUAUAUUGACCAAUCGGGUAAUUAAUCGGAUAAAUGAGCAAUUAAUUGCUAUUAUUUCACAUGCUUAUAAUUAUUUAUUCACAUGUGUGUACUAUUGAUUCACAUACAUGUACUAUUAGGGGAGGUGGUGCAAGAUUGAUAAUACUUGCAUGACUAAAUUAAAAAUGGAGGUAUAGAUGAAGAUAUUAUACUGUAAUUUUUUUUCCACAUGAUUGAACUAUUGAUUCACAUGAAUGUACUAUUAAUUCACACGAUAUACUAUUAGGAGAGGUGGUGCAAGUUUGAUAAUACUUGCAGGACUAAAUUAAAAAUGAAGGAAAAGAUGAAGGUAUUAUACUGUAAUAUUUUGAGCCCCAAAAUGUGCAAUUAUCGAAACUAUAUUUUCCUAUAAAUAAAAGCUCAUUCUUCCAUCAUUCUCACCAGUUCACUAAGACUCACAAGAGCAUUUAUAGAGAGAGAAGCUAUAGAGAGAAAGAAGAAGAGAAGUCUGCUACCUCACUAUUCCAGUAUCCAAUCUUCUUCUGAGGUAAGGGAUAUUAUUUUGUUCAGUAUUCGUAGGAAUAAUAUUUUCUUCCAUACUUUGUAGUAUGUGAGUUGUGAGACCCCGAAUUUUAUGAAAUGAAAGUAUUCAAUUUUCUUAUUAUUAUUUUAUUUAGUAAAUGGUUAAAUUGAGAAAUGGUUAAAGUUAAGGGUGAUAUUUGAAAAUUUUACAAAGUAAGCAAAUUGUUAUUCGAUUAGUCGCGGAAUAUUCGUUUUAACAGGGAAUAUUCGUAUGACGGCAUAAUCAUUGGUGGACCCCACAACGAAAGUAUUGUCGUAGUAAGAAAACGACAGAAUUAUCUUUUUAUAAAAAUAACGACGAAAGUGUUACCGUUAAAACUGUUGAACUACCCGGUAGUAAAAGUACAGUAAUACGCGUGGUUGCAUAGUAGCACACGGUAUUAAUUAUUGAUGCUUACGUAAGAAGUCACUCAGUUAUACUCAAUUAUUGCUACAGUAAUUGCUGCAUCAUAUCUCUCAUAUUAUUGAUUCGAUUAUUGUCACAGUAUCAUCUGCAUAAUAUGAUAUAUUAUUAAAUCAAUAAUUGAGAUGACAAAGUUAUUCAUAUUAUUAAAUUGCAAUAUUGAAAAUGUCUAGAAGUUCUGUCAAGGAGAGGUUUGGUCACCUAAUUGCGCGCUAAUAAGGAGAAAUCCUUAUCGGAAAGCCCCCUCUUUCCUGGGAACGACCCGGUUGUUAAAUAUUGUGCAUUAUAAUAUUAAUGAUGAAUAGGUUCGUGUUUAUUAAAGAUGAAAUUGAUAGUUCCAUUGUGUUGGAAUUAUUAGUGUUAGUGAACAUCGACAUUUAUUUCGAUAAUAAUUGAUGUCUGGAGGUUAUAUCACUACAACAAAAAGACUUAUCAGAGACCGCAUAUUAGCGACCACAUAUGGUCGCAGAUGCGUAUAUGCGACCAAAUACGGUCGCUGAUAGUAGUCGUAGAUAAUCUGGUCGCUGGAUGGACUUUAGCGACCAACAAUAGUGACCGACUUAUCAGCGACCGCUGUUAGCGACCGAAUCCAUCGCUAUUAUGACUCAUGCUGAGUUAUGUGUCAGUUGUGACGUGGCACACGUGUCAACGACUGAAUCGGUCGCUAGUUUCAAGGUAGCUAUCAGCGACCGCGUUUUAGUUUUAGCGACUGUAUGCGGUCGCUGAUCCUUUUUUUUUAAAUAUUUUUCCUGUUUUAUUGAUUUCCCAAAAAUAACCUGCUUUGUACCUUCUUUCUAUCCUAACACACAAUAGUAUAUAUAAGCAUCCAUCCAUGAUAACUACCAUAUGAUAAACAUUCAUCCAUGAUAACUACUAUAUGAUAAACAUCCAUCGUAAACUAACACAAUACAAUCGUAAACAUCCAUAUAAUAUAAUCGUAAACUAAUACAAUUGUCCAAAGAAUCAAUCUAAAAGAGUACAAGGCUUUAAAAAUCUAAAAAACAAGUCUAGCAAAGCUUUAAAAAUCUAACAUAUAUGACUUGUCUAGAUCUUCAUGGAUCAUCCAAAUUAGUACCUUGUAAUUAAUAAAAGAAUAAAACAUAUAUGUUACAUGUGUUAAUACUGCUAUGACUUGGGAAUUAAAAGCUAAACAAUAUCGAUAUAUAUACCUGGUCGCCACCCUGAUGCUGUGAUGCUGCUGCUACCGCCACUACCUCCGCCAACUCAUCAGGACUAAGAGAAUGCAGAUGCCCACCCAGUAUACGAAGAAGAUCACGAUUCUGACAGAUCGCUCUCACACAGUCAGCAGGAGUAUGAUAGGCUGGAUGACCUGAUGACUGUGUAGACUGGGUAAAAGAGCUUCCUGUACCACUGAUGGUCGGGCGUCGUUUUUUGUCCUUGGCCUUUAACAUAGUUUUUCUUCAUGACGGACGCCCUUUCCCACAAUUCUUGAUCAAUCGACGGACGCGGGGUGCCUUCAGGAUAUCGCUCGUUCAUUAAGCCCUUAUAAGUGUCCUGUCAGAAGGUUAAAAAUUAAAUAGUUAAAAAUAAAUUAAAAAAUGCUAAAAAGGUCGUUACAAUUUAUAAACAACUUAUUAGUAUAAAGUUAACUUAUUACUGCUAUCUCAACAGCAUCAGGCAGACCAUCACGGGCGGCCACAUACACAUCCAACCAAUUGAUAGGUUGACCUUGAGACUCAGACUCCUACAGUUCAUGUUCUCAUAUUAAUAUGUAAACAUAUGAUAUUUUAGCUACAAAACAUGACUGUAAACAUAAAAACAAAUAAAUAAGCCAAUAAGCUUACUAUACAUACGUACCCUAGCAGCAAUAUGCUGCAGCUGUGAUAUACUGCCGCCCUUGUACGUGCAUUUUGCCUUUUUGCCUUCAGAUACACCUGAGGAUCUGUUCGAGGCGGUAGUCUUGCGUCUCUUGACCUAGCUCUCUGCUCUCCACUAGUCACACAUCUGUACCCAUAUGGGAUGUGUGCACCACCAGGGACUAUGCUCAUGCAUAUACUGCUCACCCUGUCCUUGAUGGUCAAUCUCAACAUUGUGUAGGGCUUUUUGUCGUUCCUUGUUUAGAUUAUCUUUAGUUCGGAAGGCGCACUUUCUGCCAGAACAGUGUCUGAAUAACUGAUGCAUGUUCGUCGUCCCAUCUAUACCGCUUUUUCAAAUAAAACAAUAAUAAUAAUAUUAAAACUGUUAUAUUAUAUUACCAUAAUCCAACAAUAUUAUUUGAUUAACUAUGUAUUAUCUAUCAGAGUGAUAAAAAAAAUAUACUUGAAAUUCAGCCCAAACUGUAUCCUUAUGGGCGAGAGGUGUGCUCGCCCAUGUAAUCACUGGCGUAGGCCAGUUCUGUAAGCAUAAUUGUGAAAUGCACUUCACAAUUUUACUAUCUUGAAAAUCACUACAAUAUACAAUAAUUUACAGUCACAUAUAUUUAUAACAAUGGAAAUAUUAAACCCUUAUAUAUACACGAUGUUUAACUUACGUGCUUUUUGGAGGAGGACAGAUCUGUAUAAGAAUGCGAUUAUCCGGAUUAGCCGGGGCCUUUGGCACAUGAUUAGGGCCCCGACCCAACCCGCGUUUUUGUGCUGCAAGUUCAGAAGACAUCUAUAAAUAAAAAAUUUAGGAUGCUAGUAUGAGUUAUAAAUGAAAGAUACAUAAACGCGUCAAGGAUAUAGAGAACAUGUACAUAUGUAAUUGUAUGUAAUACAAUUAAAACUAAAUAUACAUUUUAUAUAAAAGGACAAUAAUGACAAUUAAUUGUAUGAAAUAGUUAACUACGACAACUAUAAAUGAAAGGUACAUAAACAUGUUAAGGAUAUAAAGAACAUUCCUAUAUGUAAUUCAUUGUAAUACAAUUAAAACUAAACAUACAUUUUAAUGAAAAUCGUUGUCUGAGUCAGAAUCAUUUUGUACAAGUAUCGGAGAUUCAUAACCAUCUUCUUCUUCAGAUUCUGUGUCAGUGUCAGUCAAUAACUCUUCCUUAGUAUCAUUGUCAUCUGGCACAAUAAUUGUCUCGGGAUCCAAUUCAUCAGGUUCAUCUCCACCCUCUAACUGGAUUACAUCAUUGCUGUCCUCUAUAUUUAUUAUAGGAGGUCUAUGAAGCAUCUCCUUUUGGUAGAAAUCCCCAUCUAUUAUUUGGACACGACUGCGCGCAGGAGUAUGAAUUACAACUUACCAAUCUGUAGGCGGUCUAUCCCUUUUCCUAACAGGACUAGGAGUGUAGUAUACUUGUACUGUUUGAGUUGGUAAAACAAACGGUUCGUUGGAGUACGCAGACCUAUGGAGGUCAAUAUCGACGAUUCCAUGUCUGUCAACACGUAUCCCUUUUUCUGAAUCAAACUAACGACACUUGAACAAGUUAAUAUGACCCCUGUAUGUGCCCUUGUACGACAACUCUAUGAUUUCCUCCAACUCCCCAUAAAAGGCACGACCAAGCUCAUUAUAACAAUCUCCUUGGACACACACUCCAUAGUUCGUUGUUCUUUUACCGCGCCCAUAUGCCUUUAUAUGAAAUUCACAACCAUUUAUUUUGUAACCAUUGCGGCUGACUUGGUCCGUAUCUGGUCCCAUAGCUAGGACUUGUACAUUAGCCGGAAUCGUUGAUCCCUUAGUCAAAGCCUACAAAAACUCCAUCUUAUUAAAUGAAGUCAUAGUUAACAUGGAAUAUAUAUAUAUAUAUACUACGUGCUUAAAAAUUGAACUUACUUUGUCCUUUAGCCAAAGUGCAAAGUUUUUAUCCCGAUUGAUUUGAAUAUCUUUAUCAGUUAUGCCGGGAUGCUUCACUUUUAACUCGUCAUCGUACAAUCUAUACCAUGUUAUAAACAUUAACAUAUUGGAAUAAAUUUUCAACUUAAAAGAUAAAUUAUCAAGUUUACAUGUGUACCUCACAAAUUCGUCAAUCUCCUCGCAAUUGAGAAGAAUGUAAGUAUGUGCAGCAUGCAAUUCUUACUCAGAGAGGAAUAUGCGCUUCCCUUUUCCAUAAGCGCGACCUGAUAGACCAAAUACAGAGAGCCGACCAUUUAGUUCAACAUUUCCCCCAUCAUCAUGUCUCGAUACUCGAUUGGCCUUUGUCAAGACUUCGUUUGGAAAAUAAUCUGACACAAACGUAGAUAUUUCAUCGAAACUGUAUGCCUCACAUAUCGACCCCUUGACAUAAGCUCUAUUCUUCACCUUCCUCUUAAGGUUUCCCAUCACCCUCUCAAAAGGGUACAUCCAUCUAUAUUGAACUGGACCCCCAACACGAGCUUCAUAGGGAAGAUGGAUUUGCAAAUGCUCCAUGGAGUCAAAAAAACCAGGUGGGAAUAUUUUUUCUAGUUUACACGUGAUCUCUAUGAUGUUCUUCUCAAGUACAGACAUGUCCUUCUCAUUUAAUGAUUUUGAACAUAAGUCUUUGAAGAAAUGACUAAGAUCCGUCAAAGCAUCCCAUAUUGGUUUAUCAAGCUAAUCCCGAAAUGCUAUAGGCAUGAGUCUCUCCAUGAACACAUGACAGUCAUGACUCUUCAUCCUUUACAAUUUCCCACCCGUAACACACCUUCCAAUGUUUGACGCAUAUCCAUCUGGUAGUUUUAGAGACUUAACCCAUGUGCACACAUCUUGAACUUGCUUUUUGGACAAUGUGUACCUUGCAUGCGGUUUGAUAAUCUUACCAUUAGGAGAUUCAUAAAGUUCUAAUCCAGGACGCUUACAAAUAUCUUUCAUGUCCAAACGUGCCUUAUCGUUAUCUUUUGUCUUCCCCAUAACAUUCAUCACAGUGUUAAACACAUUCUUCUCAAUAUGCAUCACAUCUAGAUUAUGACGAAUCAAAUUUUUAGACCAAUAAGGCAGUUCCCAAAAGAUGCUUCUCCGAACCAAGUUACGAGAUUCGCCAAACCCAUUGAUUAUGUUUGUGGCAUCAAUCUUACCAAAUGGGAUAACCAGCAAUCUCAUCACAUGAUCUCGCAUCUUCGUUCCCGACAAUCGUGGUGCAUGCAUAUCAUUGUCUACUUUUCCUUUCCUGAAGUGUUCUCUAUUUCUUCAAAACGGGUGAUCUACGGGUAAGAACCGAUGAUGACAGUCAAACCAAUAAGGCUUUCAACCUUUUGAUAUAUUAAACGACUAUGUAUGCUCCAUACAAUACGGACAAGCCAACUUCCCGUGUGUACUCCAUCCAGCUAACAUACCAUAAGCUAAGAAGUCACUUAUAGUCCACAUAACCGCUGCCCUAAGGUUGAAAUUUGUUUUUGUUGCAACAUCCCAAGUCUGUACUCUAUCCUCCCACAAUACCUUCAACUCGUCUAUAAGAGGUCUCAAGUAAACAUCUAAGUUCUUUCCAAGACUCUUAGGACGAAGAACGAUGAGUGAAAGAAACAAGUAUGGCUAUUUCAUACACAUCUAUGGAGGCAAGUUGUAUGGAGUAACAAUCCCAGGCCAACAUGAGUACGGAACAGCUGAGUGGCCAAACAGAUUGAAACCAUCGGUGGACAAUCCAAGCCUCACAUUUCUAGGUUCCAAUGCAAACCCAGGAUGUGCUAAGUUAAAAUCUUUCCGAGCCUGCCCAUCUGCGGGAUGAUUUAGUUCUCCAUCUUUAGCUGGAGAUUUCGCAUGCCAACUCAUAUGUUCAGCUGUUCCUGAAGACAUGUACAAUCUUUUUAGCCGAUGUGUUAUUGGAAAAUGCCUUAGAAUCUUAAACGGUAUACUUGAUUUUUUUGUAGUCACACCCUCUUUAUUAGGCCUAAACCGAUCAUGACUGCAAAACAUGCAGCUUGUCAUCUGUUCAUUUUCCUUAUAAAACAACAUGCAAUCUUUGGGACAUGCAUCGAUCUUUUGGUAUCCAAGACCCAACUUCUUCACCAUUUUCUUACAAAAGUAAUAGUUACCAGGUAAUUUCUCACCGUCAGGAAACAUACUCUUAAUGGCCUUCAAGAGCGACUCAAAACACUCAUGGCUCAUGUUGUGAUCAGCUUUGAUGUUAAGUAAUAUCGCCACUGCAGACAAUAUAGUGUGUUUGGUGCAACCAUGCCACAAUGGCUCGCUACCCUCGUCUAACAACUUAAAGAAGUCUUUAUCAUCAGAAUUCAUAAGUUGCUCUUUGCCUUGUUCCCAAUCAAAAUCUGGCCCUGCAAUAUCAUGAACCAUUUCAUUCAUACGAUGAGUACUACUGUCCGAAUUGUGUACUUCUGUGAUGCCACCAUCUCUUCUCUGUCCAUGUGCCCACCAGCAAUCUUCGUAAUUUUUCAUGAACCCAGAAACAAGUAAAUGAUAGUUUACCAUGUCUUUGUCCAUAUAAUUUACAUUCUUACACUUCAAACAUGUAUCUGCGACUUACCAUUUAUACAUUCCGGGUGACUAUACGCAUACUCCAAAAACACUUGGCAAUCAGCUCUAAAUUCAGCUGUAGCACCUAUCUGGGCACUUGACUUUCGUCGUGCCAUCCAACUACGGUCUGAAUAGAGGUCCAUGAUUCCACGUUACCUAAUAUAGACAACAUGAGCUUAUGAUUAACAUUUAAGCAUACUUGAGCAUACUUGUAAGCAUAUGACUUACAUUUAAGCAUACUAUGCAUACUUGUAAGCAUAUGACAUACUAUGUAUACUUGUAAGUAUGUGAGUUGAUAGUUUUAGUUCUCUUUUUAAAACCGAUUAGAUCAUCUUGAACUAAACAACAAAACCUAUUUUAAAUAUAUGCAGGGUCUCUACCACUAGGCCAUAUGAAAGCUAAACUAUGAUAUAUAUAUAUAUAUAUAUGUGUGUGUGUGUGUGUGUUGUUCUAAAUGAUCAACUAGCACUUAUAUAUUCAACAAAGCUACAUAGGAUUUCUUUCGCAGUAGUUUUGCUAUUACUGUUGCUACACCAUGUUCUACAUGUUCUAGUUGAUAUAUAUAUGUGUUGCUAUUACUGUUGAUAUAUAUAUGUGUUGCUACACCAUGUUCUAGCUCAAAGAUCUUUCUGCUAUUACUCAUAUUGCCCAACUAGUGCAAUACUUUAAUGGUCUU
RNAcentral lists this long non-coding RNA (51834 nucleotides) under Panax ginseng (ginseng). RNAcentral describes it as "long non-coding RNA (PGIN_LNC004876)". The record is from RNAcentral. Lineage: Eukaryota; Viridiplantae; Streptophyta; Magnoliopsida; Apiales; Araliaceae.